UCCAGAGGUCGGAGUGCGUCUUGUUGGGUACUUGUUUGCAUUUUGUGGCAAGAUAAAUACCUCCAUGCUUUCUUCAGGAACUAAAUAUGCAGCUUACCUCGUGUUCACUUUGAGAUCAGGAAUUAAUGGAUAUGGGCACCAGCUUGCUCAGGCUUUGAUAGAAAUUAGUGGACAAAACGCUGAUGAACAAACUAACUAUUUACAAAUUGGACAAGAAGCUGAUGGUAAAACUGUCUAUUGUCCAGAUGAAGAACAGAGGCAAAGGUGCCAGACUGUUCCUAGACCCAAAACUUUCUUGCAUUUAAUCUCUCAUGUAUUUUGAGGGCUAGACAUCAUAGAGUCCUCAGAGUUGCACAGAUAUCCCAAGUUCAGGGAUGAUGGAUGGAUGGAAGUUGAGAUGGGAGAGUUCUUCAUCCAGGGAAAACAAGAUCAGGAUGUGAAAAUUAUAUCUGUGCCGUGGAAUCCAGGACUGUGGUGUAAUUGUUGGCAUGGUGGUCAUCUUAUUAUUCAAGGUAUUGAUAUCAGACCAAGAGCUUGGUGAAUAUUUGAUUUACUAUUUUCAUCAGAAACAAGUACAUGGGUGUGGGAGUCCAACUAUGUACACUUCCAAGUCAGCUUAUUGACUUUUCUUUGCUUAUUACCUCUGUUUAGAUUCUUUAUUUUGUGUCCCAGACCUCACACAUUAUUCUCCAAACUCACGUGAUAACAAUUUUUUGAGCUUAUGAUGAAUUGGAGAAUUAGGAUUAUCUUUUCUAUUCUCUUUUAGUACGUUUCCAGUGAAUGAAUGAUUUCCAUUGUCAGUCAGUUGUUUGAAACUACUAGUCAUAACGACCUUUAGAAAGUUUUUGCUUGAACUUGUGGCUUGAUGCCUUUUCUAAUGCCUAUAAUGAUCUCUCUGUUGUCAAAAACAUGUUUUUAAUUUUUAAUUUUGAGUUUAUUUUCAAUUUUUUUUGAAGGUCUAUUUUAAAAUGGUUGAAAAUGCGUUCGAUUUGUCAUUCUUGGAAAAUGUUUAUGAAUUUUAUAAAUUAUUUUAUGAUAGUUUACGUGAUGUGAACCCGCGUAGGUAAACGCUACGAAACCCACGAACAAGAUUUAAAUCUUCCCAAGAAAGUCAAAGCAAGGUUUUGGAUUGAAUUCAAUAGAUUUGGAACCAAGCAAUCUGAAUUGUUGACGAUGUGAGGACCUCUUGAUUACACAAAAAUACGGAAUCUCACCUGGUUGAUUUGAAUGCCACAAGAUUAAAUCUUGAUAGUGCUUGAAUUGUUCAAUUCUAGAACAAGAGUUGAAAGCAAUAUAGCCUCUCAAAUUCGAAUAACAUCAAAAGGUUCUUACAAUUAAAAAUAAAAUAGUAUUUAUACCAGGUGUAAAAAACUAGGUAAAAAUGUGCCUUAUAUUUCAAAUAUGGUAAGAAAUCUACUAAGUAUCAAAUUCUAUCAAAAAUAGGAAUUUUGCGAAAAAAAACGCUUCAAAUUUUAACUAUGCGGUCGUAUGGUGUAAAAUCAUGCGGUCGCAUGGAACGUUCGAAAAUCCCCAUAAUUCUCUGCAUCAAUACAUGCGACCGCAGGAUGGUUUUAACCAUGCGGUUGAAUGGUUCUUCUCUCCAGCUCCAUCUUCGGCUGCUUGUAUUGUGUUGAUCCAAUUGGUUUCAGCCUUCGAUCCGAACACGAAAAUUGUCUCAUUUUGAGCCUCGAACAUGAUUUCAUCGAUGGUUGUCUUGACGAGUAAUCUCAUUGCCUCUUUCACUCCCUUUGUUCUCGCUCGUGUCAUAGGUCCAUCUUCGACUUUCAACGGAUCUUUCCCCGGGCUUGACGUUGGAUUUGAUUUGGUUGUUUGCGGCUCCUGGAUCACAUCAUCCCCUCCCUCUUCGAAACGAUUCGUCUUCGAAUCUGAACCUGCAUCAAAGAGAGAAAGAUUAAAUACAUUAAAAGUUAUCGAAACAUUAUACUUACCUGGAAGAUCCAAUUUGUAUGCGUUAUCAUUGAUCUUCUCAACUACCUGGAACGGUCCAUCUCCCCGUGGUAACAAUUUCGAUUUUCUUUGCUCUGGGAACCCUCUUUUCUGAAGUGCACCCAAACCCAAUCUCCUGGUUCGAAUGUGACAAUUUUCCUGCCCUUAUUUGCUUGGUCCGCAUAGUACUUUCUUUUCUUCUCAAUUUGCUCCCGCACCUUUUCAUGGAGUGACUUCACCAAUUCGGCCUUCCUUUUUCCAUCCAAGCUACCUCGUUCAUUAACAGGCAAAUGUAUUAAAUCCAUAGGUGUUAUAGGAUUAAAACCGUAAACAAUUUCAAAAGGAGAAAACGACAUAGUGGAGUGUGUGGCUCUAUUAUAUGCAAAUUCGAUAAAAGGUAAGCACUCUUCCAAAUUCUUCAAAUUCUUAUUAACUACAGUGCGCAAAAGUUAUGUCAUAGUCCUAUUCACUACUUCGGUUUGGCCAUCUAUUUGUGGAUGACAAGUUGUAGAAAAUAGUAGUUUCAUGCCUAACUUACUCUACAAGACUCUCCAAAAGUGAUUAAGGAACUUAACAUCCCUAUCUGACACUAUGGUUUUAGGUGCUCCAUGCAAGCGCACAAUUUCUUUAUAGAACAAAUCUGCAAUGUUAGUAGUUCAUCAGUUUUGUGACAGGGAAUGAAAUGUGCCAUUUUACUAAACCUAUCCACCACUACAAAAAUUGAAUCUCGCCCCUUUUUAUUCCUAGGCAAACCUAACACAAAGUCCAUUGAAAUAUUUACCCAAAGUCCACUAGGUACUGGUAAAGGUAUAUACAGUCCAUGAGGUAAGACCCUAGAUUUAGCCUGUUUACAUUUUAUGCAUCGACUACAAACCCUUUCUACAUCAACUUUCAUUUUAGGCCAAUAGAAAUGUUCAAUCAAUAUCUCUAAAGUCUUUGCUACCCAAAGUGACCCAUAAGUCCCCCACUAUGUGCUUCCCUAACCAAUAGUUCACACAUAGAGCAAUUAGGAACGCAUAAUUUACUCUCCUAAAACAAGUAUCCCUCAUGCUUAAAGAACUUAUCUAUAGCCCCCUUGUGACAUGAAUUGUAAAUGUCGAAAAAAUAAGAAUCAGUAACAUAUAUGUCCUUAAUAUACUCUAAACCAAGCAAUUUUGCACUUAAAGUAGUUAGAAGCACAUACCUGCGUGACAAUGCAUCUGCUACUACAUUUUCCUUACCUUGUUUGUAAUAGAUGACAUAUGGAAAAGUUUCGAUGAAUUCUAUCUAGCGUGUAUGUCGUUUGUUCAACUUACCUUGACCCCGCAAAUAUUUUAGUGACUCAUGAUCUGAAUGAAUUACAAACUCCUUCGACCAUAGAUAAUGCUGCCAUGUUUCCAAAGCUCGAACAAGUGAAUAGAGUUCCUUGUCGUAUGUAGGAUAAUUGAGAGCCGCACCACUUAGCUUUUUACUAAAGUAUGCUAUAGGUCUCUUAUCCUGCAUUAAGACUGCUCCUAUACCUAUUCCUGAUGCAUCACACUCAAUCUCGAAAGUUUUGUCAAAAUUAGGAAGUGCUAAAACCGGUGCUUUACACAAACAAUUUUUGAUAGUGUUGAAUGCAUAUUCUUGCUCUAACCCCCAACGAUAUCCUACAUUUUUCUCGACAAUUUCAGUUAAGGGUGGGGUUAUUGUGGUAAAAUCUUUAACAAAACGCCUACAAAAACUAGCCAAUUCAUGAAAUCUUUGAACCUCGGUUAUGUUUUUAGGUGUUGGCCAAUCCUUAAUAUCUUUUAAUUUCUCUUCAUCUACCUCUACACCGUUAGCACUAACCACAAAGCCUAAUAAUAUAACCCUAUCCAUACAAAAUGUACACUGUUUAAAAUUGGCAUAAAAUUGUUCAUUUCUUGAAACCACAAGCACAGAUUUUAGAUGUUCCACGUGCUCAUCAAGACUCUUGCUAUAGAUUAAAAUUCAUCGAAAUAAACUACAACAAAUUUUCCAAUGAAAUCACGCAAAACAUGAUUCAUUAAUCGCAUAAAAGUGUUUGGUGCAUUUGUGAGUCCAAAUGGCAUGAUUAACCAUUCAUACAAUCCAUAUUUAGUUUUAAAAGCCAUUUUCCAUUCAUCACCCUUCCUCAUGCGAAUUUGAUGAUAUCCACUUUUAAGGUCAAUUUUACUAAGCAACACAUGUACCAUGUAGCUCAUCUAACAUAUCAUCUAGUCUAAGAAUUGGGUGACGAUACUUUAUCGUGAUGUUGUUGAUGGCUCUGCAAUCCACGCACAUUCUCCAAGACCCAUCUUUCUUUGGCACCAGCAACACAGGUACUGCAGAUGAACUCAUACUUUCCCUUACAUAUCCAUUUUUCAUCAAUUUCUCAACUUGCCUCUGAAGCUCCUUUGUCUUCUCUGGAUUACUCCGAUAAGCCGAUCGGUUCGGAAUGACAGCUCCAGGUAUGAAAUCAAUCUGAUGCUCAAUUCCUCUAAUGGGUGGUAACCCACUCGGCACGUCCUCCAAAAAUACAUUGUCAAAUUCCUGCAACAAAGAAAUAGCUAAACUAAGGAGGGAUGUGUUAUGCUCCUCAAAGUUGAGGAGUGACUCCUUGUAAACCAACAAUAUCAUUUGUUGUCUCUCAACUAUUGCCUUUUUUCAACUCACUCCCUCUCACAAAGAAAUUUUGUUUCGGCUUUUCUCUCAUCUCAAAAGACUAUCUUUCUUUUCUCUCAUGUGGCCCCACUCUUUUUUCCUCUCUAUUGGCCACCUCACUCUUUUCUCUCUGUUUUUCUAACUCUUUCACUCUUGCUUCUUCUUCAUUUUUCUAUACUUGUUCCGGUGUUAAUGGUGUAAGAGAGAUAGACCUCCCAUCUUUUAUAAAGCUGUACUUAUUUCUGUAUCCAUCAUGCAUUGCUUUCCUAUCGUACUGUCAUGGUCUUCCCAACAAAAUGUGCCUCGCAUGCAUAGGUACAACGUCACAUAUUACCUCAUCCUGAUAUCUACCAAUGGAAAAAUUAAUCAACACCCUUUUUGUCACCUUGACCUCCCCACAUUCAUUCAGCCAUUGUAACUUAUAAGGUCUAGGAUGUUUUAAUAGUGUUAAGCCCAACUUUUCCACCAUGUUAGUGCUAGCUACAUUAGUACAACUACCACCAUCAAUUAUUACACUACAUACCUUACCAUUAACGAAACACCGCGUGUGGAAUACGUUUUCUCGCUGUUGUUCCAAGUCGACCGCCUUGAUUUGAGCACUAAGAGCUCGCCUCGUGACCAACAACCUACUGUUAACUGCAUACUUAGUUGUAUCUUCCUCAUCAACAUCUUCCAAUCCUGGCAUGUCUGCAUAUUCACUUUCACUUUCCACUUCCCCGUUAUCUCGUAGAAUCAUUGUCUUCUUGUUUGGGCAUUGAGAAGCAAUGUGCCCUACUCCCAAGCAUCGAAAACAUUUGAUGUCCCUGUUUCAUGAUGGAUUUGAUUCCCCCUUUGGUAUAGGCUUGCUAGCACCCUCUUCCUUGCCUCUUGGUACCUCAGCUCUUCCUCUUGCAGUAGUCCCAUCUCUUUUGUUAUUUUCCCAAUUCGAUUUCCAGGAAGGAUUAGAACCCGAAGAUCCAGAUGGGUGCCUUGCUGUUCCUUUUCGCUUCAACUGCCUUUCUACCUUCAUCGCCACAUGUAACAUGUCUUCAAUUUCUACAUAGUGCUGCAAUUCCACUGCAUUUGCAAUGUCUCUGUUCAAUCCACGCAGAAAUCGAGCCAUGGUAGCUUCGCUAUCCUCCUCCACAUUUACCCUGAUCAUUAGUGUCUCCAUCUCCUUAUGGUAAUCUUCCACACUCCUGAAGCCUUGAUAUAAAUUUUGCUAUCUUUGAUGAAGCUCCCGAUAGUAGUGAGUAGGUACAAACCUCUUCCGCAUGAUAGUUUUCAAUUCCUCCCAUGUAUUAAUAGGUCGCUCCCCACUUCUCCGCCUUAAAGUCACCACCUGAUCCCACCAAGUGAUUGCAUAAUCAAUGAAUUCAAGAACUGCAAUUUACACCUUCUUCUCCCCCGAGUAAUUGUGGCAAUCGAAGAUUAACUCAAUUUUCUUUUUCCAGUCCAAGUUGGCCUCCGGAUCACUCCUACCUUUGAAGGAAUGAAUGGUCAUUUUAAUGUUACUCAAGUUUCCAUCCACCUCAUCUCCACCGAGAUUCCUACCUCUCCUGUCUAGUCUGACUCCUCUAUUUCUACCCCUUCCAAUAUCCAUAUACACUGUCGCAUCCUCAUCCAAUCCACUAUCAACCUCAAAUUCACUAAGUUCCUCCAUCCUAGGUUCCCGCCUACCCUGUCUCCGUGCAUUAAGAACACCUCUUCGAGUAUUGGCAGGCAAUGGAUUUUGCCUUUUUCCCCGUGUAUCCUGUCUAUCCAUCCGAUCUCUCAUAUCUACACAUAACUACUCAAUCCUCCUCACCGAGUCCUCUAGCAUGGAAACCCGAUCAUCAACCCUUCCUGAAUUUGAUCCUUCCCUGUCAGACAUCCUAAAUCUAAAUUAUUUUCUGCCUCACAAGUUUUCACUCGGAAUUUCACUCAAUACGUCUUUUCCAUCUAUUUCUCCCACCACUCUGCCUUUUUCCACUCGUUGCGUUCACCAAGUCUCCAAAAGAACAAUUUCGGAACUCAAUAAAAAAAAUAAUCACGUGGAAUUCAAACUGGUGUGAGUGAGACUACAAAAUCAAGGAUUUUUGUUCUGACUGGCAAUUCGAACUAAACAAUUAAAGACUGACUCAAAAACACGAAAUAAGAAAAGAAUUAUUGACUGACUUUUAAAUUAGAUGCAAAAUAAUAAAUGGAACUAAAGAGAGUCGAUAAAUUUUCCCCAAGAUCAAUAAUAAUAAUAAUAAUUUUUUUUACUGCGUACGGAUGAACAGUACCGUACAGAUGAAUAGUAAACUUUUUUUUGGACCCGGACUUUAACUACGACACCAACGAAAGAAACGGAAGUUGUUUUAGAUGCUAAAUGAGCCCAAAAAUAACUUUUGAAGUUUUAGACGAAAAGAAUUCAGAUCAAAGACUCAAGAAUUUACUGGACAGAAGAACGCGAAGAACGAAAAAAAACUAGAAACAAAGACUUAACAAGAAUUUAAAAGGGAUAUAACCUUGAAUUGGUGCCUAAGCUCUGAUACCAACUAAUGUGAACCCGCGUAGGCAAAUAUUACGGAACUCACAAAUAAGAUUGAUAUCUUCUCAAGAAAGUCAAAGCAAGAUUUUGGAUUAAAUUCAAUAGAUCUGGAACCAAGCAAUUCGAAUCGCCGAUGAUGUGCGGACCUCUUGAUUACACAAAAAUACGGAAUCUCACCCGGUUGAUUUGAACACCACAAGAUUAAAUCUUGAUAAGUUCUUGAUUUGUUCAAUUGUAGAACAAGAGUUGAAAGCAAUAUAGCCUCUCAAAUUCGAAUAAUGUCAAAAAGUCCUUACAAUUGAAAAUAAAAUAGUAUUUAUACUAGAUCUAAAAAACUAGGUAAAAACGUGCCUAAUAUUUCAAAUAUGGUAAGAAAUCUAUUAAGUAUCAAAUUCUAUCAAAAAUAGAAAAUUUGCGAAAAAAAUAAAAAAAAAGGCUUCAAAUUUUAGCAAUGCGGUCGCAUGGUGUAAAAUCAUGCGGCCGCAUGGAACAUUCGAAAUUCCUGAAUAAUUCCCUGCCUUACUCCGUGCGGCCGUAGGACUAUUUUAACCAUGCGGUCGCAUGGUUCUUCUCUCCAUCUCCAUCUUCGGCUGCUUGUAUCGUGUUGAUUCAAUUGGUUUCGACCUUUGAUCCGAACACGAAACUUGUCCCAUUUUGAGUCUCGAACAUAAUUUCAUCGAUGUUUGUCUUGAUGAGUAAUCCCAUCACCUCUUUCACUCACUUUGUCCUCGCUCGUGUCAUAGGUCCACCUUCGACUUUCAACGGAUCUUUCCCCGGGCUUGACGUUGGACCUGAUUUGGUUGUUUGCGACUCCUGGAUCACAUCAUUACUUCAUUAAUCUGAUUAUUCAAUAAAAUAGAAUAAAUUUUUAUUAAAACUAGUUUUGUGUGUUAUUUUGAAAGGGAUGUUAGCGUCUUGAAUGUCAAGGAUUGGGGAGAUAUCGUAUUACAAAAUUUCCACACGCAUAUUUACAUAGAAGAAAUAAUGUUUCAUAAAGUUGUAAGGGUCAAUGAAUUGUGAAACAUUUAAACAAAGAGGGCAAAGGAAAUGUUAUGGAAAAGGCAUUAGGGAAAAGUUCAAAUUUACAAGAGGAGAACGUGUUACAACGUAUAAUACAACAACGUACUUCAAAAUAUACUUUCGUUUGGUUUCUUUUCUACUAAACUGACAUGGAAAUGAAGCAAAAGUUCCAUAUAGUCAAAAUAGAAACAUAGAUGCAAAUUGCAAUGGUUAGAAAGAGACAAAAUCAACUUAUCAAAGAGACAAAAUCAACUUAUCCAAAACAAAAGCUCGCUACCAAAAAAUAAAACUAAAAAGCCUAAACCAAUCUUAUCUUCUUCAUUUCAUCUCAUCUAUCCCUGCCAUUUCACAGUCGCGGUGCUGUUGUUUGUGGUUCCAAAAUUGCUAUUUGUCGUUUGAUGCCAUUUCAUCCAUUUCACAGCCAAAACCAAUUGAAUUUCUCCGCUGUCUACUUCCAUUUCAAUGAUUUCAUUAUUUUCAUCCAUCCCUGCUUUCUGCUGUCAUUUCACAAUCUGCCCUCUCAAGAACAUUUCUCAAACCGAUUUCAACGGAGAGACCCCCUUCAAUUUUUGGCCUAAGGCGCAGGCCUCAUCCACCUCACCUCAGGACUGGCUCUGAGUACACAAUAUGGAAAUUAUCAAAGCAAAAUGUUAUUAUAUUUAAUACAAAUUACAAUUUUAUUGAGGGCCUUACAUCUGCAUUACUUGUCAUGCCCGCACGUUUAACAUUGGUACCAGAGUCUAAGUAGGUUGUUUUCUUGCUUAACUAUAUGCUGAAAAUGUUUUAAAUUAAAUUGAAAUGCAUGAAUUUCGAUUUUAUUUCAAAGCUUGAAUGUUGUUAAUGGCAACUUUUGAUAUACUUCAUAUAAAUUCAUGAAAUUUAUACUGUAUGUUCAUGAUAUUAUGGAGAACAUAUCUGGAAAAUUUCACUUCGUUUAGAUUUGUAUUGUAGGAGAAAAAUCGAACCCUAGUUGAGAAAACAUAAACUUCAUCGCAUGAUAAUUUCUUGCAUGUUAAGUUCCACCUACCCAUUAUAUAUGGUUGAAUAGUUUGUCCUCAAAUAUUGCAAGUGCAAUUUGGAAAAUUGUAUGUUGCUCUCUACACUUUUGAAUGUUGAAUAUUUCAAAUGUAAUUUGAAAAAUUGGAUGUUGGUCCCUCAAAUAUUACAAAAUGUACUUUGAAAAAUUGCAUGUUAGUCCCAACAUAUUUGAAUGUUGUUUAUUCUAAUAUCAAUUUGAAAAGUUGUAAGUUGGUCCAAUUUUUUUUUUUUUUUUUUUUUUUGGAAAUUGAUUAUUCCAAAUUCAAUUUAAAAGAUUGUGAAUUGGUCCCUCAAUUAUUCUUGAUUUUUUUUAAUGCAAUUAAAAUAAUUUUUAUAUAAUUAAAAAUAUUUAUAUUUACAAUUUUUGAAUUUAAUUAAAUUCUUUUUUUUUAUUUUAUAAAAAUCAAGAAUAUUUUUGUGAAGUGGUAUUUUCCUGGUGGGAGUUUUUUUUCCCUCUCAUUUUUUAAAUGAAAAAUACUCCAAAAGUAUUCGAUAUACUGUCUUUUCUACUAGGGCUAGAUAAAACUUCCGAACCGAAUCGAUCGAACCCAAACGGAACGGUUCUUCCUAAGUUAAAUACCCGAAUGGGCAUCUGAAUCGAGAACCAAUGAGUUUAGUUUGAUUCUCGGUUCUAGAUCAAGAACCGAAAAAUCGAAUAAGAAUCGAAUUUUCUUAAUUUUUUAAUUAUUUUAUUUUUUCUAAAUAAAUUUGCCAACUAGUUAGUUUAGUUCAUACCAAAAAAUAUGAUUUUUCUAUUUCUAAUUUUUAGUUCAAAGCCAACUUAAUCAAAUUGACUUAAAUUUUAUCCAAAUCUGUUACUCAACCGUAGUACUGUUUCUGUCGUUCUAGAGAAAUCGAAUUGAAGCUCAACAACGCUUCUCUUAAUUAUUGUGAGCUCGCUAUAUUCCUCUCCUUGUGAUUUUAACAAUCAAAUUUAUGAAGAACUCAGUAAAGAUAGACACAUAAAAUUGGACUACAUUAUUUUGUAAAAGUUAAGAUUGAACAUAUAAAUAGUUGAAUUAAUGUACUUUGUAAAUAUUAAAAAUUUUAAUUAUAAUACAGAACCUGAGAAUCGAAUAGAAUCGAACCGAACCGAACCGAACCAAAUGAAACUGAACCCGAUCGAUUCCAUAAUUAAAUUUGGACUCGACGAUUCUACUUACUAAAUACCCAAAAAUUUCAAGUCUAGUUCGAUUCUAAAGAGAACCGAACCGAACCGAACCGACCAAGUCAGCCUUAGUAGUGGAUUGAUUUACAUUUUGGAGAUUUUUUGGGCUUUUAGAUCUGACUAAUCUGCAUUUUGGUGGUUUUUGGAUCUGGCAGCAGUUUUCAUUGGAAAUACAUGUGAGGGUGUUAACAGUGGUGGUGAGGUCGGCAACGACCAGUUGGGGCAGUUGCUGGUGGGGUGGGGGUAGCACUUUCUCUCACCCUCCUAGGGUACAUUUUCGUAAGAGCUCAUUUUUUAGACUUAACUUCAAUUUUUUUCCUACUUGUGGGGCCUCCUCUUGUUCUUUUUCAAUAACAAAUCAUUUUUCAAGGAGAUGCCCAAAUGCUCUUUUACAGUAAGCUUUCGCUGCAUGUUUGCUCGUGGUUAUAGUAAAUGGUUUUGAGGGAAAAAUCUGCUUUCAUGUAGAGUUAAUUUUUUUGUUAUAGUAAUUUUGGGUAGGAUGUUAGUUAGUUUGUUUUAUAUAUAAGAGUUUGGUUAUAUUUUUGAUGAAUUGGUUGAGGUUUGGAAGUUCCAAACUUUGAAAUUAAUAGAAUUGAUUUCAUUUAAAGGUAUUAUGUUAAUGGUGAUACCUGUGGAUAUAUACAAUAAAUAUGUUUUCGUGCAACAUGAGAAAGAGUAGUAAAUUAAAUUAACAGGAAAAUAUUUCCUACAUAAGAAUAAGAUUGAAAGUUAAAAAAAAAUUAAAAAGUUUUAUAGACGUGUCAAGCUUCCAAUGUGGUUAAGCUUUCGUAAAAAAGGGACAACCUUAAAAUUAAAAUUGGAGUUCUUAGCUUAAAGAAAAGAGAAAAAAGAAAAAAAAAAUUCGAAGCAGAUUCUGCGUGCACACAUGUAGUGCUCUUCGUGUGUGCAGUCUCCGUGCACAGAUAGUGCAGUCUCCAUGCACGGAAUGAGCACUCUCCAUCCACGGAGAGUGCAAAUAGACAAUUGGGAAAACUGAUACGAGAGAGAAUUGAAGAAACAAUAGGGAAAUUGAAUGCCAAAAAGAAAAAAAAAAAAAAAAAAAGAGAGAUCAUUUGCUCUAUGCAAUCGAUUAUCGAAACUUGUUUCUUUUCUGCAUCAACUUCCUGGACAAACUACACCUUAAUUGAAUUUCUAAGAGUUUUUUCUUUUCUUUUUUUCGUUAUUUGCACCAUAUUCAGGAAAAUUUGAACUUUUAAUACAUUCAUUACUUUGUGUGGUGGUGAAAUUUAACUUCAGAGGAACCACUCUUUUGUGGUCUCAGGUAAAUUAUCUUCAUUCUACUUUAACAUUGGCAAACGAUGCUUGUUUUUUCUUUCUAUAACUUAAGGUUUUUUUUUAAAAAAAAAAAUUGGGCUUGAUUUUUGUGGUAAAAUUUGAUUGUUUGACUUGUGAAUUGUCCAGGGAAGUUUCUGAAAUUUUAGCUGGUUUUAUUUGCCCAAAAAGAAGAUCAAAUUUUGGAAUACACUGCUAUGUUAUUGUUCGACAUAAUCGAUGGAUUAUAAUUAUGUAGAGCUUAAUAGUCAUUCCAUGCUUCAUUCCUGUUUGCUAAACUUACUGUUUGCUUAGUUGCUCCCAAAUCCUUACUGGAAUUUUUGAAAUCGACAUGAAAGAAGAAAAAUGAGGCCGCAAACACAAGAAAACAAAAAACAUAUAAAAUAUUAGUGAUAUGGGAGAAUUUCACCAUUGAUCCCCAACUUAUUGCUCAAAUUUCAAUUAGUCCUCAAAUUUUUUAAAAUCAAUCUUCAGCCCCUUAUUCUUAUCUCUUAGCCCGAACGGCCUUAAUUAUGAAAAAAUAUAUAAAUCUAUACUAGACCACCACAGUACUUCCAUAAGUCCAAAGUUAUACCUUUGUGGUGGAAACAAGUAAUCCUAUCAAAUAAUAUAAAAAAUUUGACAUGUCAGUUGAAAGAAUCCUUGAAAGGCAUUACAUAAAAAUUUGUAAUUUUCUACGAUGGCUAAACAUUUCUUUUUCAUGAAAAAAUGAUAAGUAAAUUAUAUAUAGACAUGAUUCAAUGUGAGUUAUUUUGAGUUAAUUCAAUGCCAUGCCACGUCUUUUAAGUAUUUCAAACCGAGGUUCUAAGUGCUACGACCUUCCAUCCAAUUACCAUAAGAAAUUCUAUAUGAAAAUAAUGAAUGCUCUUAAGAAAGUCCAAAUUCCUAGAAGGAAUUCCGGAUGAAGCAAUAAGUAUUGCUCUGGAGCAGUUCGAGCUAAGGUUGUGAGUUUUGUAACUCCCACAAGGAAUUUUAGAAGAAAACAUAUUGCUCUUAAACAAAUCCAAAUUCCAAGAAGGAAUUCUUGAGGAAGAAAUAAGCAGUUUGAAUUGAGGUUGCGAGUGCUGAAAUGCUUUCAGCCAAUAUUUUAUAAGAAAUUUUGAAGGAAGAAUUAAUGAUUUCUCUUAUGCAGUCCGGAGCUGAGAUUACAAAUGCUAUAACACAUAACUAAUUUUUAUAAGAAAUAAAGAUUAGUCUAGCAUAAUCCCAUAGUUACAAAAGUGUCAAUUUUGAUCUUCAAUAGAGAAAUAUACAAUUGUAAGCUAAUGAAUACGCAAUAAAUACAAAACUCGUGCAAUGCACGUGACAAAGACUAGUUUUUAAAAUAGGUUGAAUGCCUAGAACUUCGUGUGACGGAGGUGACUUCCGUGUUUUAGUCCCAUUUUUGUAAAAAAAAAGUUUAUUAUAGAAUACUGAUUUUUUGAACAAUGUGUGCUUAAAAAAUAAAAAAAAAUAUUUUUGAUUUACAUGUAAAACUAUUUUAUGGAGAAUGUGAAAUUGGAAAUGAUUUUUUUUUAUUUUUUUUUUUAAAGGGGGGGGGGGGGGCCAAGGGCUCGAAGUCACGCUAGUUGAAGGGUCAGGAAUCUCAGCUCAAAUUCUUCAAACAAGGAUUGCAUCACAAAAAUAAAAAAAGCGUGACAUUUAUUUUUUAGAGCGCAACAACCUAUUUCUCUCCCAUUUGUAAACAAUUCUCUCUCCAUACACUAAACCAUUUCCCUCUCGUGAAAUUAGUGGUUUCAAGAAUUUAUUGCUUUGAACAAUGUUGUCCUGUAUUGAAUUGACAGGAAGAAGGUGUUCUUACUAAAGAGCCUCGAUGAAGUGAUUUUCGAGGUGGAGGAUGUUGGAAAAAAUAGUAUAUGGCUCGCUUUUGAUACAAUUUUUGGUGGGACUCGUUGGUCCAAUUCGGAAGAUCAAAAUUGAUUUGUGUUCUCAUUAGAAUAUCGAAAUCAUGUAUUUACUUGUCAAAAAUGAGCUUGGGUGAAUGAGAAAUUGAAGCUUAAAGUUGAUCAUUGGAAGAUGAUUUAUGUAGGAAAAUGAGUUUAUCCCACAUAGGAAAAUUAUGAAAGCAAGAACCACUUUAUAUAUGGCUACACAUUAAACGGGUGUAAUCAUAUGUAGUAUAAAGACUCUCUCCACAUGCGCUCGCAGUGGGAUGCAAAUCACAGACCGAAAUAGCUUUAGGACCUUGAACUCGUGUACGGGCGCACUUGCGUACACGAAUGUCAAACCGAAUGGAGAAAAAAUUGGCCCGUUUGAAGUGUCCACGUUUUGCAAUUUUUUUUGCUUUAUCCAAUUGACUUUUGAGUUUCUAAAACUGCUAAAACUCCGAUGGUUAUUGCAGAAACUAAAGUAACUCCAAUUUUUAUUGCCAUAGAGUUAAUGGACAGAAUUAACUUAUAUUAAAUCUCACUUUCUAGCAAUUCUUACACACGAAAUACAGGAGAAAAAAUGUGCCUUCAUAUUAUCAUUCUUUGCGAAGUUGGUCUGUCUGUAUAUACAAUCUCGAUUUCUGUCAACGUCGUCUUGGUUGUAAUAUUGUUCGAAUACUAAUCAAUUCACUGAAGUAGUAUCUGUGAUGCUCGGAUCCUACUGGUUUUAUUAUUGUAUCCUGGGAAAUAGACGUUCGAAUUAAAUCUUAAUUACUUAAAGUGAAGGGGUGAAUCUGUUUUAAGGAAAUUGUGUACGCACAGACUUCGGGUUAAAAAUUCAUUUUCCUGAAUUUUAUUUUACCAUUUGACUUGCAGAUUUAUAUGCAUUUAUAUUAUUUUUGUGCUUCAUAUAUUUGAAGUUUAUUUCAUGCUUAUGUUAAAAUACAAAUUUGAGUCUGUUUAUGUUAAAAAUAAAAAACUAAAUUUUUUUUACUGACAUUUGGUUUGGUAAGUGCAUAUAUGGUAUUAUCCAAGUUUGAUAUUUAUAAGUGCAAAAAUCGGUAUUUGAAAAUACGGUAUCUAACCUCACUGCAUAUACGGUAUAUGCAAAUACGUUAAGCUCUUGCAUGUAUGGUACGUUGGUGCAAAUACAGUAAAUUGUUGUAAAUACGGUAUACUGUUGCAAAUACGGUAAAAUAUUGCAAAUAUGGUAUGCUGUUACAAAUACGGUAAGCUGUUGCAAAUAACUUUUGAUACGGACUAUAUGGCAAUUUUAUUGAUUCAAUUAUUUUCUUGUUUUUGGGCACAUGGGGUGAAAUAUAACAAUUUAAAUUAUCUUUUACGAGUAAAUUAUUAAAUAUAUACGGUAGUACAACGUAUUGCUCAUUACUGAAAAUGUAGAGGUCGGUCAAAGUUCUAGCAAUGAUGAAAAUAUAGUUUAUUGAAAAGAAUUUGAACGAUUAAUCACAAUCUAAAUGAAAAUUAAUCUUUUUGAUUUUUAAAACUCAAUAUUCGUCAAAAGAAAUAAGUGAGAUAUCACUCUAAAAUGUUUACUAAUUUAAAAUUGAAAAUAUAUUCCUCAUCAUGCCUUUUAUCCAUCUGUUAAAUAACAUAUAUAUAAAAAUCCAAUUUCAACAUUAUAAUCUAUUGUGAGACAGAAACUCGUUUGAUAGCUGCAAUGAUUUCCAUGUGCUGUCGAGGGUUGUAUAGUGAACGCUUUUUCACUAAUGAGCCCCAAGGACGCUUGCCGACUGUCGUCGGUGAAUUCCACAUUCCGAUUAGCUGUAGAAUCCAACGUCGUUUGGGGAAGGUUUUUGCCGCCUAAUUAUCGUGACAUUUGUUGGUCAACAAAUCUUGAUUCCUCUCAAUUUUUUGUAGGGAUGAAGUGGUCAACAAAUCUUGGAUCCAGAAGGAUAUGUAGAGAGAAAAAUGAGAGAACAAAGAGUGAGUGUUACUCUCCAAAUUAACUCACUCUCUAUGAUUAAAUGUAUUGAAAAUAUUUCAACAUAAUGGAUAAAAUAAUAAAAUAAUUUGAAGAAAAGUUAACGAAAAUAAAAGACAAAAAAAUAAUAAAAUAUUUUUCGGACUAGUAAAAUUAAGUGUAAAACACAAAGAGUCCAUCGGAGUACUUAAAAAAUUUAUUUCAAAUUUAUAGAUGUUCUGUAAAUUGCUAAAGAUGCUCUUUAAACCACAAUACCAAAAAAAAAAAAAAAAAAAAAAAAAAAAAGGUCUCUUGCAAAUAUUCAAGUAGUUCAAAAAUUUUUAUAUUUUUUAAAUAGGUUGAAUGACUAGAACUUCGGGUGACAGAUGUGACUUCCCUGUUCUAACCCCAUUUUUGUAAAAAAGUUUAUUGUAGAAUAUUGAUUUUUUGAAAAAUAUAUGCUUAAAAAAUAAAAAAAAUAUUUUCGAUCUAUAUGUAAAACUAUUUUACGGAAAAUGUGGGAUUAAAAAUGAGUUUAAAAAAAAAAAAUGGGGGCCAAAGGCUCGAAGUCAAGCAAGUUGAAACGUAAGGGAUCUCAGCUCAAAUUCUUCCCUUUUAACCUUCAAAGAGGGAUUGCAUCACGAAAAUAAAAAGAACCCUGCUACUCUUACAGGUAAGGAUGGCAAUCGAGUUCGUCAAUUCAGGCUGUCCGUGGUUCGACUCGAAAAAAGUUCGAGCCCGCCCGGCUUGAGGUUCGGGCUGAGCCCCAUUUUUAGAUGCCGGACAAAGCUCAAGCCGGCCCGUGUGACUCGUCGGCUCGGAGCAUAUAUUUUUUAAUAAAAAUAAAAAACAACACGCUGCUGCCAAAAAUAGGACAGCACCUGCCUUGUUAGGCAGCAACCUGCUGCCAUUUUAUUUAAUUAAAAAAAAUUUCAAAACCAAACAAUACCCGAGCCGGCCCAGCUCGGCUUGAAAAGGCCCAAGCCAAAAGCUCGGGUUGAGCCCAAUUUUUUUUUGCUGAGCUUUUGCUCAGCUCGAGCCUGGAAAAAAGCUCGAAUAUUUUAUCCGAAUCGAGCCCGAGCCUAGAAUUUCAGCUUGCGAGGCUGCUCGACUUGGCUCGUUGACAUCCCUACUUACAGGGAAUACACACAAUCGCUGGCCUCGACAUAUAUAUAUUAUUAUUAUUAUUAUUAUAUUUUCCACAUGGGACCACCCCUCAUUGGAGGGGUCGGUAAGUCCCCUUUAAGAAAUUACACAGAGCAAUUUCCAAAUAAAAAAAGCGUGAAGUUUAAUUUUUACAGCGCAACAACCUACUUCCCUCCCAUUUGUAAACAGUUCUCUCUCCAAUCACUAUACCAUUUACCUCUCGUGAAAUUAGUGGUUUCUAGAAUUUAUUGCUUUGAACAAUGUCGUCCAGUACUGAAUUAACAGAGAAGAAGGUGUUCUUACUGAAGAGCCUCGAUGGAGUGAUUUUCGAGGUGGAGGAAUCGGUGGCGGUUCAAUUGGAGGUGAUCAGAGAAUUGAUAGAGGGGGAUUGCGCCCGACCCUUCAUCCCUCUUUACAAUGUCACCUCCGAGAUUCUGGCUUUGGUCAUUGAGUAUUGCAAGCACCACGCUGAGACCUGCUCCGGUGGCACUUCCGCCACCAUUGCCGAUGAGGAUUUGAAGACAUUCGACAACGAGUUUAUGAAUGUUGAUGAGAACAUACUCCUUGAACUAUGCUUGGUAUCUCUUAUUUCUUUUAUUAAGAAAUGCACUUAAUUAACUGUCGGGUCUUACUGUUUGAAAUCUGCCGUAAUUCUGGAUUAGUUGUUGCUUUCCGCUGAUGGUUGAUUUCCCCUUUUAUGGUGUUAUUUGGGGGCUGAAUUCCAGUGAGUGAUAAUGGGUUGAGUGUUAAACUAAUUGUUCGAAAGUCAUUAAAUAGCUGUUGUGGUUUCAAUAAUCACUUGUUAUGGAUUACUCAGAAAUCCAUGCUUGUAAUUGCUCGUCGCCUUUGAAGGCUUAUGAUUAAACCGUUAGGUUAGAAUUUAAGAAAUUAAAACAGAGCAUUUAUAAUUCCAUUUCAAGGCCCUAAUACCUUACUAAUUUGAACUUCAUGUCCAAUAAUAAGCAUCAUCUAGGGGUUACUAGACACCUUAGUCAUACUGUGAGGCAUGAUUCUUCCUGUGAUGGAGCAUGUGGUAAUGCAGAUGCAGUGAUCUUGCUGCAUCAACAAAUACAAAUGCUUUUGUAUAACAUUUAGCAAUUUUAUAUUUCAAGCAGUUGAAAGGUUUUGCUAAUGGCUGCAAUAAUUCUUCAGGCUGCCGACUAUUUGGACAUCAAGAGCCUUUUUGAGCUUACAUGUCGAACUCUGGCAUCCUUGAUCAAGGAUAGGACCAUCAUUGAAGUUCGCAAGAUGUUCAACGUUGAGAAUGAUUUCUCUGUGGUUGAGGAAAAGGCGGUUCGGAAAGAGUUCGCUUGGGCAUUCAAUUGAUGAUUCUGCAAUUGUCCAUAUAGCAUAAGAGUGUGCCAUAUUCUGUUAGUAGCUUCUAUGAAUAUUAGACUUUGAACUUCAGUAAACUGUAAAGCAUAUGAAACUAUAAUCUGCAAGGUAAAGCUAAAAAAAUCGAAGAUGGUAAAAUUGUCAAUUGUCAUCAAUUAAAAUGAUUGGCUCCAACAAAGCUAUAAUCUGCAGGGUUUCUAGCAAAUUAAGAACGGUAUUUUAUAUCGACAUGAAUCUGUUGAGCCUGAGUUUUAUCAGAUGAUUCAGAUUUAAAGUUGGCUAUCGAUCAAUUUAUAACACAUUUUCUGCCCUUUUGAAAUUAAUUAAUAAGGACAAACAAUAAAGAGCAAAUCGAUAUAAGUUAAAAUUAGAGGAAAUUUCACAAAAUGUCCAUUUUUAUCUAGUCAUUUGCAAAAAUGUCCACCAUUGCAAAAAUGUCUAAUUUGGAAGAAUUUAGACAAAAUACCCUUAUUAACAAUUUAUAAUUCCACACUAAGAUAAAAAAGAGACAUUUUUGCAAUAUUGUUAUUGGCCAAUAAAAUUUUGGCACAUAACCUGCCAUAUUUAUUUCAAAAAGUAUACAUGUCAAAUCACAAUAAAUGCUAUGUUUUUCAUUGAUUCAGAAAUGUCGAGAACGACAUUUUUAAAUGUAGAAAAAUGUCAUGUUCAAAAUGAAAUAUCAUUAUAGACAAAUGAAACGGUAUUCAAAUGUCGAAAAUGACAUAUGAAAUGUCGAGAAACAUUAUCUUAAUGUAGCUUCUCAUAGAAGCCAGUUUUCAAAAUUCGUGACAAAUUGAUAAAAAAAUCAAAUGUCCAAAACAACAUUUAAAAUGUCGAGAAUACAAUCCAAAUGUAGCUUUUCAUUAAGAGUAUAAUAGACAAGUUGACACUAAAUUCAUAUGAGUAGACACUUUUCAACUCAUACCCUUAAAUUGACAUUCUUAAAAAUGCCCCUUAAAAUUAUAGUGAUUGUUUCUCACCCCAUACCUUAGUAAAUGCUGACUACUCAAUGUUGUUAUACGACAAGAUUAAUCUGGACAAUGAAGGUGCUUAGCGUAGUGACCUUUUCUUGCAAAAAUUCAAUCUUGGCAUUGAUAGAAAAUGCAAACGGCCUGCAUGACAUAACAUCCUCCCCCACCUAACUGGGAACAACCUCGUUGCGUUGAAAUGCCGAAGUCUCUCUUCAAAUUGCGACAAGUCUUUCUAGAUUACUUUGCCUCACUAGGAAGAGAUUAUCUCAAUAAUUCUACGAAAUAUGUGUUUUACGGAUUGCUUUAGUAUCUAUGAUUCUAUAGAGGGAACAACAUUCAUAUGAAGAGCAUAUAGAAAUAUCUACCCGAAAAUAUCUUUCCUCAAGGUUGGAAUCCCUAGGAUAAGGAUGUGGAUCAAUUAACUAAUGCUGAAAAUCAAUGUCAUGGUUUGGGGAUUCAACAUGUCAAAAAUUUUGAAAACCGGUUACUCUUUAAGGAAAUCUAUACGAGUUUUGUUUUUUGAAAAAUUCUUAUAACUCAAAGCCCAAGUUCUGUAUGAAAAUCGUUUUCCAAAGUAAAGUUUGCAUCUUACCAACGGUACAAGAUUUAUCAAAAUCUAAAAUUUCCGUAAAAUUAGUGAUUUUCAAAAGUUAUCAUACUUUCUUGUGCACUUAUUUGAGAUAUAAAUUAUUGUAACUCAAAUCAAAGCACAAGUCUUGUAAUGAAUCCCCCUUUUUUUUUUAAAAAUAAAAAAAAUUAAAGUAAUGGAUACAACUUUUCAGCGAUAUAACAUUCAUUCAAAUCUAUAUCAGUGAUUUUUAAAGGUUUUUAACGACUUUGUUGGAUUUUUUACCCAAAUUAGGUUAGAUUUUUUUGAAAAAAUAUUCUUUCAUUUAUUGCACCGGCUUUUAUUGGAAAAAUAUUAUUUCCUUUUUAUUCCACGCAUUUUUAUUGGAAAGAUAUUAUUUCAUUUUUAUUCCACACAUUUUUAUAGGAAAAAAAUAUUGUUUCCUUUCUUCUACAUUAUUUUUAUCCCGUUUCCAUCGUUGUAGUAUUCUAGGGUUUGGCAUGCACCCCUGUAAAUACUGGAUUCUUUCCACAAGUUUUCUAUUACUGAAAUAUAAAAUAAUUGUAUUUAUUUUCUCCGUAUUUGUCAAUUGAAUAAAGUACUCAAUUCCUUCACCAAUUAAUUCUUUGCCUUUUAUCUUGUUAUUUGUUUGCGAUUAUAUACUUCAUAUCAUUAUUUCUCAAUGAGUGGUAUUAAAGCUAUUAGUUGUAAUUUAGUUUGAGGUUUCAAUUAUCUAUGGCAGCCAUGAUGUAUGAAUUUCGCUUUUUGAUCGCAAUACAAGAUUCUCGUUAUGGAAAAUGAAGAUGCUGCUAUUUUGGCGCAGAUGGAUUUGUAUGACGGGUUGUUAAAAUUUGACCAAAUACUCACAACUUGGACAAUAGAGAAGAAACAAUGGAAGAGUCGGAAGGCACUUUCACAAAUUCAUCUUCAUCUCUCCAACAAUAUUUUUCAGGAUGUUUUGAAAGAGAAGACAACUGCAUUGAGGUUGAAGUUGGUGCAAUUAUACAUGAUCAAAAUUCUAACAAGCAAAUUGCAUCUAAAGCAGAGGUUGCAUUUUCAUCGCAUGGCAGAAAGCAAAUCUUUGGAAGAUCAUCUGACUCUAUUUAAGGAGAUCGUCAUUGAUUUGAAGACCUUAGAGGUAAAGCACAAUGAAGAAGAUUUUGCCUUAAUCCCAUUGUGCUCGCUGCCUGCUUCGUUUAGGGACUCGAUUUUGUAUAGUUGCGAUACUCUCACUUUUGAAAACGUGUAUGAUACCCUAUUCUCAAAGGAGAAGAUGGAGCAUCUGGUUGGCUAUUAGUCCAGAGAUGGAAAAGGCCUUGUGGUUCAUGAUGAUUGGAGAAAGGGUAAGUCGAGGUUAUGUUUCAAUAAGUAGAUUUUUUAUUAUUGUAAGAAAAAAAGGAUAUAUUAAGAGGGAUUACGACAAAUUGCAGAAGAAAUGUAAUUUGACUGCAAAUCAUGAGAAGUAAUCAAUACUUCAUAGGAGACCAACAUUGUCAAGAACUGUUUGAGUGAUGGAGAUGUUUUAACAAUUAUUUUGACAUGAAAUCCAAACUUGACAAGGAGUGAAUUUUGGAUACAACUUGUGCAUUCUAUAUGUGUCCCAAUCGAGAUUUGUUUGAAACAUACGAAACAAGGACACAAGGUGUCGCUGUCAUGGGUAAAAACGAACCUUUUCGGGAGUUGGUAUUCGUAGAGUAAGAUUGAAGUUGGUGGAAGGAACAUGUAAAACACUUGAUCACAUUCGAUAUAUUUCAUACUUGAAGAAGAAUCUCAUUUUGUUAAGUAUUUUUUAUUCAAAAGGAUAUACGUUCUCUGGAGAAGGUGGAACAAUGAGAGUCCGAAAAGGGUGUUCGUGUUGUGUCAAAGAGGUCCCACUUAUAUAUUUUGCAAAGUUGGGCAAAAUCUAACCUGCACUCAAGAGGGGAUAAAAAUGCAAUUGAGUUCUUGCUUAUAAAUAUGUAAAAGUUGAUUAGAGAUAAUAAGAUAAUUAAGAAUUAUAUUUAAUAGUUAGGUAAAAUCAAGUCCUAUGCUUUCUUAUCUUGUGAAAGAAGGGGGAAAAAGUAUAGGUGGAUUAUCAUCCCAUAAAAUCAUGGAGGUAAUUGGUAUUAAUUAAAUAUGAUUUUUUGAAAGUAAUAGAUAUGAUAUUUAGUUGGCGACAUUUGAGGAAUUGUAAUAGAUUUUUUUUAUUGUUAUGUAUUUUAAUUGGAGAUAGUUACCAAAAAUAAUCCGACUACGUUAAAAGUAGUUUUUUUUUUGGAAUAUUGGAGAAUGAAAAAGAUGUAAAUGUAACAGUAAUUCUAUAAAUUUUUUUUUUUUUAUUGAGUUAUAUAAGAAAAUUUCCCUUUCUUUUUCUUUGUCAUAUCAGCCCAUGGACAAAUUCAAACCAGCCCAUAUUUCCAUUUGCUCAAACCCUAAACAAAACAAUUAAAACUUACUUCAGCCCAAUUCACACACCCAAACCCAAAUCAAACACCCCGAAUUCCCCUUUUUCUUCCAUUAUUCCGUCUCUCUCCAUCUCUAAGCAACGCCUCCUAUUCAUCCUCGGAUUGCACAUCGCGUUCUUCUCAAAAUUAAGGUUUCCUUCUUCUUUAUUUUGUAUGUCACUCUCCAUUAGCCUUCUUUCUAUCUUUAUUAGUUUAUGUAUCUGAAUAGAUAAUUAUGUUUCAGUAAAUUAACUAUGUCCAGAAGUCUAUUAAUUGGGUAAUUUAUAACAAUAAUAGGUGAGAUGAUAAUCUGUGUCCAAAUCGGAAUUAUCAAUUACAUCUUUAUCAUUAAAUUUUUGGUUUAUCAUUAAAUUAUUUGAUGAAAAUGACUUUUAAUGUUAUGUAUGAAUUUAUUUUAACACUGUUUGGGCUCCAUUUAAAGGAGCUUGAAGAAAAAUGUAUUUUUGAAAUAGUAAUUUUUUAAAAAUGUUCAAAAGAAGGAAAAGUUUGAAUAUACGUGUAAUAUUAUUUUAUUAAAAAAUAUUGAUUGAAAAAAAGAAAGAAAAAAUGUAUUAAAAUUAAAAUGGAGCCACAUUAUUGCCUUUCUCAAAUUUCAGCCCUUGUGUCUUAAUAUCCUGGUCCGCGCUUAGUCCUCUUUGAUACCCUAGUCUCUCUAUUUACAAUAGGUCUUGACAUCGAGAGAAAAGGAUGUCGAUCGAGAACUAUGGUGAUUUUCAGAAGUUGCCGGAGGGUUGCAUAGCGAGCUUGCUAUCGUUUAUGAGCCCUAAGGAUGCUUGCAGGCUGUCAUCGGUCAAUUCUACAUUCCGUUCGGCUGCUGAAUCUGAUGUCGUCUGGGAGAAGUUUCUGCCGCCUGAUUGUCGUUACAUUAUUUCCCGAUCAAUUGAUGGUGCUGACUCGCUUCUCGCUAAAAUUCAUACCAAGAAAGAGCUUUAUUUUCACCUGUGUCAUAACCCUAUCCUCAUCGACGGUAGUACCAAGGUAAUAGAAUUUCCAACUAGUUUUCCUGAUUUUGGAUUAUCCACUGGAAUUAUUAGUAAUUUAUUUACUAAUUUUGGGUUCUUGCGUAUUUUAUGCAAAUUACCAAUCAACGGGGGUUUUAAAUGGAUUGCUUUCGGUGUUGGGGACAUGCCUUAUGCAUAUAAUUUGCAUUAGUUUCGAUUAGAAAUUAUCUAAAUUCUACCAACCUCUUCUACAAUUUUUAUUUAUUUAUUUAUUUGCAAGUUGUAAUUUUUUUGAAAUCCUAACAAUUAAAUUCUUGCUGAAUCAAGUUACUUCUUAUGAAACCCACUAUUAGACUCUGCCAGUUCAUGAAUUGUGAUUUUAUCAAUACACUCUUAAUGUAAUUCUUGGCGAAAUAGGUAACUACAAAUGUUACAAAAAGCUAUUUAUUAUUUGAAUUUUAUGUUAUAACGGACUGGAAUAUUUCUAUUUUAAUAAUUGUUCGUUCUCAUUUUGUAGAUUAAUUAAUUUUAUUGCACUACUUGCUGUUUGAAAUUUGACUUUGUGGGUGGUAAUGGCUUAUUUAUUUAUGCCACUAACGUCAACAUUUAUGUUUUAAAAGCUAUUAGCAGUUCUAUGGCUUUAGAUGUCCAUUGUUAAAUAAUAUGUGCCUCUAAAUGUCCAUUGUUCAAUUUUAUUACAUCGAGGUUUAAAAAAAUGACCGUAGGCUUAACUGCGUGGCUCUGUACUACUACGAUUAAGAAAUAAGGUUGAAGUACUAUGGAUAUCAGAGCUAUCUGUUUAAAUGUCUCAAAUUAGUGAACUUUGCUUAUCUAUGCUAGCAGGCUAGGUUCAUUAGACUAGGUAGCUUAAGAGCGUGGAAUUGGACCUCCCUCAAUAGAUGAAUAUGUUAUAAUGGAAUUGACCCAAAAAUUUCUCUAUUUAAAUUUUGCCAGUCCUUGGUAACAGCGUAAAAUCAGACGGAGUAUGUCCAGCUGUAAUCCUCAACCGAUCUUACCUGAUCUAAUUGUAUUACUGACUGUAAUUGAUUUCUUGUGUGUAAUAGUAUUCUAUAUGGCCUCACUGGUAAGUGGUUACCUGUACCCUGCUUCCAUUCCUCCUUUUUAUAAGAAAGCCAAAUGUUAGAAGAACUUGGUCGUUCUAACAGCGACAAGAAGACUAUAAAAACGACCAAGAUCAAGAUACUACGGUCCAGUCUUGGUCACAUGGCGCAGUUUCUAGGACCGACUGACGCCUCACCUGCAUUGGUACCUAGUGUAGUGGUUGCACAUUCAACGUAGUGUUUGGACUCACGUGCCUUCCAGGACCGAGAUUUUUGAGUGUACUGCAUAUGAUUUGCCAGCUUUGUGGCAACAAAAAGAUUAGAUGUCCCCCCAUGCUAUGACCAUUUGUAAUUUCAUCUCUUUCACCCCAUGUCCUAUGUCCCAACAUUGUAUAUCUCUUCACCUUGACACCUUUGACCAAUUAGAUUCCUUACACGUGUAGACUCUAAUCAUCAUGAAAAUUCAGCAUGGCCAUUGUUUCAUUUAUUUGGGUUGAGGAUGCAUUUUACAGUUUCUCUGUUGCUACAGAGCUUUUCAUUGGAGAAAGGGACGGGAAAGAAGUGCUUUAUGCUGGCUUCAAGGGACCUCAUUAUAUGGGGUUGUCCACCCCGUUGGCAAUGGAUCUCUUUUCCCAAUUCCAGGUUCUAUAUUUAUCCUGCAUAAGAAUAACAAGUAUUUUUUUUUUUUUUAAUAUUAAUUAUCUCGCUUGAUAGUUUGUUGCGUGUCUGAUUCAGAUUUCCAGAGGUCGGAGUGCGUCUUGUUGGGUACUUGUUUGCAAUUUGUGGCAAGAUAAAUACCUCCAUGCUUUCUUCAGGAACUAAAUAUGCAGCUUACCUCGUGUUCACUUUGAGAUCAGGAAUUAAUGGAUAUGGGCACCAGCUUGCUCAGGCUUUGAUAGAAAUUAGUGGACAAAACGCUGAUGAACAAACUAACUAUUUACAAAUUGGACAAGAAGCUGAUGGUACAACUGUCUAUUGUCCAGAUGAAGAACAGAGGCAAAGGUGCCAGACUGUUCCUAGACCCAAAACUUUCUUGCAUUUAAUCUCUCAUGUAUUUAGACGGCUAGACAUCAUAGAGCCCUCAGAGUUGCACAGAUAUCCCAAGUUCAGGGAUGAUGGAUGGAUGGAAGUUGAGAUGGGAGAGUUCUUCGUCGAGGGGAAACAAGAUCAGGAUGUGAAAAUUAUAUCUGUGCCGUGGAAUCCAGGACUGUGGUGUAAUUGUUGGCAUGGUGGUCAUCUUAUUAUUCAAGGUAUUGAUAUCAGACCAAGAGCUUGGUGAAUAUUUGAUUUACUAUUUUCAUCAGAAAUAAGUUCAUGGGUGUGGGAGUCCAACUAUGUACACUUCCAAUUCAGCUUAUUAACUUUUCUUUGCUUAUUACCUCUGUUUAGGUUAUUUAUUUUGUGUCCCAGACCUCACACAUUAUUCUCUAAACUCACGUGAUAACAAUUUUUUGAGCUUAUGAUGAAUUGGAGAAUUAGGAUUAUCUUUUUUAUUCUCUCUUUUAGUACGUUUCAAGUGAAUGAAUAAUUUUCAUUGUCAGUCAAUUGUUUGAAACUACUAGUCAUAACGACCUUUAGAAAGUUUUUGCUUGAACUUGUGGCUUGAUGCCUUUUCUAAUGCCUAUAACCAGGGGCGGACCCAGCCGUUUUGGAUUGUGGGGCCAAAAAUUAGAGUCGUGCUGUAGUGCCCGCAUGAACGACCGCGGAGUUGACACAACACACACAUGAGAUCGGGAUUAUUUUAUUCAUGGGGUUCCCGUUGGACAUGUGAGGGCACAGUCACUUGCGAGUUCAUCUUCGCGGGUUGUGUUUAGCUCCAAAAAUUAAUGUGUAAUUUUUUAAAACAAUAUAAUAUUUAUAAAAAUAAGUCAAUACGUAUUUUGACAUCUGGAAAGUGUCUUAUAAUUCGAUCAUUAUCAAUAUUGUUAAAUGAAUUUUGCUAUAUGUAUAGUUUUGUUUAUCAUGUCAUUUAUGGAUGUUGAGUUAACGACGAGUAAAUCAAAUUGGAUGUAAGAAGUAAAUGAAAUUUAAGUUUAAUGAAAAAAUAAUUUGAAACUAAUUCAAAUUACAUUUAAUUCGUAAUAAUUUUAGAAUUUUUGACAUCAUAUUUAAUGUAAAAUUUCUUAAUAAAAUAAUGUAAAUUAUAUUAAAAAAUUUAUCUUGAAAAAAUAAUAACUGUAAAUGAAAUAAUUAAUUUUUUUUAAAAAAAUGACGAGUUAAACGCCUAUUUUAAUACGGACGUUUGAUGCAUAUUUAACUAUUUUUAAUAUCUGUUUGGACCAUUCAACAUAACUACGAUGUAGUUUUCAUAACAAGCUUUUAGAUGAUGCAAGCGAUUUGUAGAUUUGGAUAGUAUAUGAUCAUUGGCAAAUUUUAAAAAUUAUCAUAUUAUCAAAAUUUUCGAAAUACUAAUUUGGAACAGCAUACUUUGAUAUAUCGUAACUUUUGCUAUAGUUGAUCAUUCACACACAAUUAAAAAGCGAAAAAUGAAAGUUUUUGCUUGAACUUGUGGCUUGAUGCCUUUUCUAAUGCCUAUAACCAGGGGCGGACCCAGCCGUUUUGGAUUGUGGGGUCAAAAAUUAGAGUCGUGCUGUAGUGCGCGCAUGAACGACCGCGGAGUUGACACAACACACACAUGAGAUCGGGAUUAUUUUAUUCAUGGGGUUCCCGUUGGGUUAAGAAUGUAAUAUUUCGAUUUCAUUUGGUAUGUAUUAAAGUGGGUCAAAAAUGGGUUAAAACAACCGUUUUCUGAAAAUAAAUUAAAAUUUGUGGGGUCAUCUGACCCCACAUGAUCGCCCCUGCCUAUAAUGAUUUCUCUGUUGUCAAAAACAUGUUUUUAAUUUUUAAUUUUGAUUUUAUUUUCAAUAUUUGGAAGGUCUACGUUAAAAUGGUUGAAAAUACGUUCGAUUUAUCAUUCUUGGAAAAUGUUUAUGAAUUUUAUAAUUUAUUUUAUGAUAGUUUAUUUCAUUAAUCUGAUUAUUCAAUAAAAUAGAAUAGUUUUAUAUUAAAACUAGUUAUGUGUCUUAUUUUGAAAGGGAUGUUAGAAUGAAAUUUAAGUUUAAUGAAAAAAUAAUUUGAAAGUAAUUCAAAUUACAUUUAAUUCGUAAUAAUUUUAGAAUUUUUGACAUCAUAUUUAAUGUAAAAUUUCUUAAUAAAAUGAUGUAAAUUAUAUUAAAAAUUUUAUCUUGAAAAAAUAAUAACUGUAAAUGAAAUAAUUAAUUUUUUUAAAAAAAAUGACGAGUUAAACGCCUAUUUUAAUACGGACGUUUGAUGAAUAUUUAACUAUUUUUAAUAUCUGUUUGGACCAUUCGACAUAGCUACGAUGUAGUUUUCAUAACAAGCUUUUAGAUGAUGCAAGCGAUUUGUAAAUUUGGAUAGUAUAUGAUCAUUGGCAAAUUUUAAAAAUUAUCAUAUUAUCAAAAUUUUCGAAAUACUAAUUUGGAACAGCAUACUUUGAUAUAUCGUAACUUUUGCUAUAGUUGAUCAUUCACACACCAUUAAAAAGCGAAAAACUAGGCCAUGAGCGUUUAGAAACGAUAUUAAGAAUGUAAUAUUUCGAUUUCAUUUGGUAUGUAUUAAAGUGGGUCAAAAAUGGGUUAAAACAACCGUUUUCUGAAAAUAAAAUAAAAUUUGUGGGGUCAUCUGACCCCACAUGAUUGCCCCUGCCUAUAAUGAUUUCUCUGUUGUCAAAAACAUGUUUUUAAUUUUUAAUUUUGAUUUUAUUUUCAAUAUUUGGAAGGUCUACGUUAAAAUGGUUGAAAAUACGUUCGAUUUAUCAUUCUUGGAAAAUGUUUAUGAAUUUUAUAAAUUAUUUUAUGAUAGUUUAUUUCAUUAAUCUGAUUAUUCAAUAAAAUAGAAUAGUUUUAUAUUAAAACUAGUUAUGUGUCUUAUUUUGAAAGGGAUGUUAACGUCUUGAAUGUUAAGGAUUGAGGAGAUAUUGUAUUACAAAAUUUCCACACACAUAUUUACAUAGAAGAAAUAAUGUUCCAUAAAUCUGUAAAAGGAUCAAUGAAUGGUGAAACAUUUAAACAAGGAGGGCAAAGGAAAUGCUAUGGAAAAGGCAUAAGGGGAAAGUUCAAAUUUACAAGAGGAGAACAACGUGUUACAACUUAGAAUGUAACAACGUACUUCAAAAUAUACUUUCGUUUGGUUCCUUUUCUACUAAAUUGACGUAGAAAUGAAGCAAAAGUUCUAUACAAUCAAAAUAAAAAUAGAUGCGGAUUGCAAUAGUUAGAAAGAGACAAAAUCAAUCAUUUGGUAAAAACCUCAAAAAUCAGUUGGGGACUUUAGAUACCAUUGGGCUAGACGGAGUUUUUGUAAAGGUUAAUCGAGAAUUUAAGCCACCUAACUGGAAAACAGAAAAUUUGUUAAGGGACAGAAUAUGCAAGUACACAAUAUGGAAAUUAUCAAAGCAAAAUGCUAUAAUAUUUAAUACGAAAUACAAUUUCAUUGUGGGCCUUACCUCUGCAUUGCUCUUCAUGCAGUUCGAAGCAGGCUUUGUGCAACCAUUCAUAAAGGGAUUAUUUUGUUGUAAAAAAUAAUAUUAAUUUCCCAGAAGGUAGGGCUUUCACUUUGUACAUCAAAACUUUAGAAGAAGUGAACGAAAGUUCAUCUAGGGAAAAUAAUAAGGUGGUUAACAUGAAAAGAGACGUAAUUCGUGGAGAAUGUGGAGCUAUUUAACGCUUUCCAUACUAUUAUUUUAGAGAAUUCUGCAAGAAUCUCCGAAAUGAUUGCAUAGAGAACCUUAAUUAGUUACACAUUUUCCAUGUUAACCAUCUCAUUAUUGUCCAUUUGAGAACCUUUAUGCAUAUCUUAUGGAGUUUUUAUAUAAAAGUGGAGGCUCUUGUUUUCUAUGUAAUUUUAUGUUGUUUCUUAGUUGAAUGGAAAGUACUUUCUAUUAGAUCCUGCAAGGCUGGAAAUGUAAUUUGGUUCAGUUCGUAUUCAUAAUUGACAAAAUGAACAAUUAAUUGAGCAUGAAGAUUGAUGUAUAUGUUAUAUAUACGGAUAGAUAAAAGGAAGCGCAUAAUAUACCGUAAUAAUUUUACUUAUAUGGAAUUCGAUUGAAGUUAAUAAUGCCUCAUGUUGCUUUACUUUAAGCAAGGUAGAAGUAGCAUGGAAAAAGUUUUAUACCAACUGUAGUACUUUCUUUAUUAUUCUUAUGGAGCGUAUUAAAAAGGAAGUAUUGUUAACAUAGGUAGGUAGAGAAAUUCUGGAGAUGCGGAUAGAGUCUUGAUUGACACAGUUACAAUUGUUACAAAGGGGAUAUAUUAUUAAAUUGAAAUGCUUUUGAACACGGCCGUGAAGUGCAAGACACAUCAUAAUUGUCAUUAAUGUAGGAGAGUAUUUUCCUAAAAUUAAUAGCUACACAAAAACGCUUGCAAUGGUAAAAAAUUCAUAUUUACCGGUUAAGUUGCAAAGUUUGAAGUCGGCCUAAGAGUUGUCUGCAAACAGCUUAGCAUUGCUAGGAUUUAAAUUAAUUUUUUUUUCCUACCAUUGCAGGCGGGGAUGAUUUCUCGGGCUUAGAAGGCUUCCCGUCUUCACUGUUUCCCAUGAUAACGCACAAAGUGCAGUCCUUUAUUAAAUUGGUAUCCCAAAAAAAAUCUUUUGAUCUUCGAAACAAAAUGUCAAUGUAGUUUAGAUCGAAUGCUUGGAAUGUGUCGAAACAUUGACGAAGUACAAGAAAGGCAAAUCGGGAAAGAAUCAAACUGAAAAUGAAAUAGCUAUUCAAGUCAAAGAUUCAUCAGGUAGCCACUUCAAACCAACUCGAAAUUGAUCGUGUUGAAAUUGGAUAAGAUGAGAUAAACAAAACUUCAGCUACUAUAUUUGAUCCACUAGAAAUGAUAUGUUUAGUCCUUGAUUAGAGUUUUUCUCUCAACAAAAAAGAUAGAUCUUCAUGUGAUGAUCCUGUGUAAUCUGGCAAGAAGCUUGUACUGCAUACUAUGUUACAUCCUCGGCAAUAGAAAAGCUGGGCGUUUGUUGUAUUUCUUCGACCAUUUUAAGGGAGGAAGUAGUUUUUCUUUGCUGUCAUUCUGUGCAGCAUUUGUAACGUGCCUCAACGGAAUGAAUGUACAUAUCAGUACAACUUUUCUGGUUUUGUUGGAAUGGAUAGGACGAGAUGGUAAAGAAUGUAAUGUCUUUCAGCGAACCAUGCCUAGAGAUGGUUUAAUGGGAAAAUAGAUCAGUAUUUGAUCGAGUAAAUAUUAUGUGUGUAGAAGACAUAAUUGGGAUCUGUAGUUUUUUCUGAACAGGAAAGAAACUUCAUUCCACAGAAUCAACAGUAGUAAUGUUUCCCAGAAAACUAGGUGGUCUAUCCAACCACACUUUGCUACGAUAAUUAGAAAAUGCAUAGCUAGCUGUCCCCAGUUGCUUACCAUCUAAUUGGCACAAAUAAUAUUCCGUCAAAUGAGCCCUCAAGUUUUGUAAUGCAGCAUAGGAUGGUGCCCUUGGAGACCUGAAUUUUUGGCUGCUGCUACUGUUGAGAGUAAAUUGCAUGCCUUCCAAGAUAGCCUAAACCUUUGUCGCAUGAGGAUAGCAACGGGCAGAUACUCUGAGGACAAAGAAGUUGCGUCCUUCCCUUUAUUGCGACAUCAACAUUAAGCUUCAAUUGGUUACCAGCCAUAACAUUCACUUUCUGACUCACCUUCCUUAUCGUCCCAUGCCCUCCCGCUGGAGCUCUAGCCAAUUGAUACUCCUCUACAUAAGCGGUCGAGUGGGGCAGAAUUCUAUAUGCUUCACAUAGCAGUCUUUUGAAGACAAUGGAAUUUCAAUCAUAGGAAACAAUAAUUUUUCAAGUAGAAGUUAUUUAUUUCACAAUACAAGAAUUCUAUAUGUUCUAUUUAUCAAUGGAAGUCAUUUAUUUCACAAUACAUCAUAGGAAACAAGAAUUUUUCAAAUUAAACGCCAAAAAAUUAUGGGUCAAUUUGUUGACAAAGUUCAUGAACAAAGUACAAAAUCAAAUAGUGUUGGAAAAAAUGAGUAAAUGGCUCGCUUUUGGCAAGGGAAUGCCCUCCUCAUUCCAAUACUUCAUCUUCAUCACCAAGAAAAGAAAUUGUUUCAUGGUAAUCAACCCAUAAACCAUCUCUAGAAACGUCUUCAAGAUAUCUAGUUUGCUGCUUCUCAAUAUUACACACUGCCAGACGGGAAUCAUUGCACCCAAAAAUGAUAUUUUCCUUCUUUGCAAAUUUAACAUAUAAAGGUCGUUCCCUAGUUCGCACAAUAAUCUCUUGCCAUGUUUCAGCCACCCCGAAUUGUGUCAUUACCCAUACACUCCAAUCGGUUAAAACAUCACGAGGUACAACAACGAGAGCAAGAACCCCUCUGUAAACAAUGAGAUCUGGAAAUCUUGCAAGGGGCUGCUCAAAAUGUGGCAACGUCACCUGAUGAAACGUUUCUGUUCGAGUAUCAAAUGAAAAGAUAAACACAUCCCCUUCCAGCCUGAAGGGAGGAAUGACCAACCAAUUGAUUCGUCCAUUAGCAACUAAGGGGAUAUCUGACUUUACGAAUAGAGGAGGAACUUCCACAUCAGAGAGCCUUUUCCAAGACCUUGCUUUCAAGCUAAAUAUUUCAACUUGACAUUGUUUCACUUCAAGAAUACUAAAAACUUGUAAGAUUCUGAGUAACUUAUAAUCGUCGUUUAUAUUGUCAUACCAAAAUCCGACAUUAUACUGGAAUCUGUAACCAGAAUCAUAUAAAAUAUUGAAGCUAGUGCUCUUAAUGCAUUUAAAUUUCUCAAGAAUCGGAUUCCACAAGUAUAACACUCGACCACAACAUCGAACAUGAUUGUUAGUAAAGCAAACAAUGCCAUUGAAAGAACCAAUUGGUCGAGAGAAGAAAUCAAACUUUGCAGGCCACUCAACCUGAUAUUCCACGUUCCAGUUACAAAGUACUUUGCAAGGUUCGUACCAAUAGGGACCAAACCAAGGGUUUGGCAUGAGGAGAGCAUAAUCUCUUCUAUCAUCAUCUACACAUCGACUGAGAUGAGUAGAAAUGAAAGCAGGAGAUUUAAUGAAUUCAUAAGAGGAUUUGUUUACUAUAGUAAAACGCCCCACAAAUUUUGGGGGCAGCCAUGAGAAAACUUCAUAAAGGACACAUUCCGGAAAAUAUCGAUUGGUAUUAUAAGCCAUGGAGAUCCUACGAAACAACAAAUAGGUAUUAACAAAUUUAUAUUUUCUGUUAAAGAUCAUUUUACAUGAAUCCAGCUCUGUAUUAUAUAACAAAAUUAUGCUGAUAGCAUUACAUUUUACGAUUUUAGUAAAACAUACGAAUCUACACAAGUAAUUAUGAUAUUAAUAUGAAUAUUUAAACCUAAAAAUUGAUUAAAAUAACAGCUUAAUCCACCAUAUUGAUUUGAAUUUAAAUUAACUUACCUUCAAUUCAAAUCUGAGAGAGCGAACGAGAACAGGAGCACAAAUGAAGAAUGGAGCAGAAAAAAUUAGGUGCACAAAUGAAGAUCGAGCGAGCGAGAAUUAGAAGAUCAAGAGAGAGCGAGAGCGCGAGCGCGAGCGAGAACAGAAGCGCAAAUGAAGAAUGGAGAGAAGAGAGGGGAGGGGAGGGGAUGAUAAAGAAAAAUUGGCGGGAGUUUCCACGAGAUUGUUGAGUCAGUGUCAUGUUUGGCUAUUAAUUUAAUUGUACCUAAAUUAUAAUUUGAAUAUAUAUUAUUUCUAAGUUUUGAUUAAACAAAAAUAAUAAAAUUUACAGUAUUUUUUCUCCCCACUUACCCCAGGCAUCAACUAUAUUUUGAUAAACUCAUUUUGAAUCAUACAUAUUUCAUCCAUAUUAAUCAAAAUCUACUAAAAAUUGGAGUUUUAACAAAAUCAAAUAGUUUUUGGUACAUAUUCAAUCGCACAUUGUUUUGGAUUUGGUUGAUCGGAGUUGAAAUAUCUCCAUAUUUGUUUAUCUUCUUUUCAUGAUUUCAUCAUUCUUAACGGACAAAUCCUUUCUGGAUAUUUUUGACGAUUUUGAUAGGUCAAAUAAACCUCAAAGUACAACUAUGUUUUCCAAGUUCGAGUUUUUUUUUUCCCUCCAAGUUUUUAAGUUCGAUUUUUUUUGGUUGUUUGUCUUCAAGUUUGCAAUGAGUCGGAAUGAUGUCAAUCUUGGCUUGUCGUUAUCAUUUGCUCGGCUUCUAUGAUAAAUCGAUGCUUUGUGAUCAAGGUAAAUAGAGAGGAGCAUGUUUAAUACACAUGAUUAAAGCCGGUCCUCAGGCGAGGGUGGGCGAGGCAAAUGAGGCCCUCGCCUCAGGCCCAAUACCAUAAGGUGCCUUAUUUUAGCCCAGAUUUUUUCCCCCAAAACAAGGCCAAACAACCUAGAUCCAAUGGUGUGCAAUUUGAUGCAAAUUUACUGAAAACAAGAUCUAAAAUGGUUAAAUUUGGGGUUUAUUUUCUUAAAAAUGGUGUGAGAUUUGAUGAAUUUUAUAAAUGAGUGUCUAUAAAUAUUCAUAUCGUUGCUUAUUUUUGUACAAAAACUUUGUGAAGAUAGAUAUUUAUGUGGUUGUAUUUGUUAAAUCCAUGUCAUUGUCUUAUUUUUGUACAAAAACUUUGCGAAGAUAUUACAACAUUUUAUAAUUCUUUCAUUCUAGAUCUGCUUUAAAAGGGACAGAAAGUUGUAUUUUAAUAUAUAUGUAUGUUUUUGUUUAAUUUUAGUUGAUAAUAAAUCUUUAGUCAAUUAUGUCGAUUUCUUAAUCUGCACUUCCACACUUGGCAUCAGUUCCUUCAUUCUAUGAUUAAAUCUUUGGUUUUAUUAUUUUAUAAUAUAAAUCAUUUCUAUAAUAUAUUUGGUUAUUAUUUAAAUGUUAGUUUUAAGUUAGCAAUAGGUCGCAUAAUACACUGUUGAAUUUUACAUUUACGUUGAUUUCGUCGAUGCCUAAUUUGUGAAAUUUGCCCUGGGCCCCGACAAUCCCAGGAUCGACCCUGCACAUGUUGUGCAAUAAGGCAUGUGAAUGUGCAUAUCCAUGCGAUUAGGGCGCAACAAGGAUAGUUCGAGCUUAUCUUUAUGUUCACUAUAAAUACAACGAUCCUCUCAUCCCGACAACUCUACAACCCUCACACUCUAACCCCUCAAAAGAAAUUUAAAUAGAAAAUAUUGUCAUUUAGAUUAUAAGUUGUAGAUUCUAUGAAUUGUAAAUAUAUACUCAGACAUCAUAGUACAAAAAAACUUUUUUGAUGAAAAGUACGGUGAUCAUUUGUACUCUAACAGUUAAAACAGUUAUCAUGAAAAAAAUGAUUAUGGAUAAGGCAAAUGAACGGAGUGUUGGCUAGUUUUUGAAUAUCGUAUAUAUAUUUUUCAUAUAUAAGGAAAAUAAGGUGAAAAGUGCUUAUGACCUUUCAAAUCUUUUGGAUACGUGUCUACCAUUCCUUAUAUUGUUCAUUGUCACAAGUUCAUCCUGUUGAAUUCGAUUUCUUUUGUUUACAUGGCCGUCAAUCCCUCUCCAUUUGAUGUAGGGUAAUGUCACUACUUCGCUAAAAAAUUAUAGCUAAUUGGUACAAAUACAAUUUAGCCUAUACCAUCUAAAAUCAAGCUUCCGAAUCCAUCUCAAACCUAAUCCGUCGGGUCCACGCCAACACUAAACUCAAUUAAAUAGCGAUAGAAAAAUAAUUUAUUACGCAACCGAAACUUACCUACCAAAAGAAAAUCUAAAAGACAACUUGCGUAAUUUACCCUCAUCCAAAUACACACAUUUCAUUGGUAAUUAAGUAGACAAAAAGGGCAGGAUGUGGCUGCAUUUACCAACAGUUAGCAAGAAAAUUCAAAUAAUUUUUUUUCUAUUUUUAUUUCUAACAUAAAUAUAAAACAAGUAAAUUGCAAAAUAUAUGAAUCUAGUAAAUUGCAAACGUGUAAAUCGUUAAAUAAAUAAAUAAAUAACCGUAAGAAUAAAUUGCAAAUAUGUAAAUUGUAAAAGAUAAAUAAAAUUUCAACUCGAGACCUGUGCAAGCACAGUUUCCUUAAAACAGAUUUGCCCCCUCACCGUAAGUGCUUGAUGUCUAAUCCGAGCGUUUGUUUCCUAGGAUAUAAUAGUAAAACCUGUAUAAUCUGAGUACCACAGAUACUACUCCGACGAACUGACUAGUAUCCGAACAAUAUCACCAUAGUGACGACGCUAAACAGAAAUCGAGAUGUUGACAGAAAAAAUUGCAAAAUGUUUUUCUCCUAUUUUCGUGUUUGUUUCUGUAUGUGCUGGAUUUGCCGAAAAAAUGACCUUUCAUAUAAGUUUAAAUCUGCCUAUUAACUCCAUAGUAAUAAAUACUGGAGUUGCUUCAAUUUCUGAGAGUUUUGGCAGUUUCAGGAAAUUUAAAGGUCAAUUGAAAAAGGCAAAAAAUUGCAAAAUGUGGACAAUCCAAACGGGCCAAUUUUUGCUCUGUUUUGUUCGACAUUCGUGUACGUAGGUCACGUCUGUACACAAGUUCAAGGUCCGAAAGCAAUUUCGAUAUAUGAUUUACACCCCCCUGCGCGUACACGUGGAGAGAGUCUCUAUGCAACAUAUGAUUACACCAUUCCAAUGUGUAAUCCUAUACAAAGUAGUUAAUACUUUCUUCAUUUUCGUAUGUGGGACUAGACUCAUUUUUCCCACAUAAACCAUCUUUCAAUGGUCAUCUUUGAGCUCCAAUUUCUCAUUCACCCAAACUUCAUUUUUGGCAAAUAAAUAUAUGAUUUUGAUACUCUCACGGAGGAGAACACGAAUCAACUUUGAUAUUCCAAAUUGGACCAACGGAUCCCACCGAAAAUUUUGCCAAAAUUGAGCCAUUUACUCAUUUUUUCAACAAAUAUGAGUUUCUAAAAGAUGAAGAUCGAAAACUUAUAAUGGCCUUGCAUGUGUAGUUGAAUUUUCUCUUACACAUGAACAAUUUUUUUUUUUGAUCGGUACACAUGUACAAUUUUUUUCAUAGUAAGAGUGCAGCAAGACUCCAGAAUCCAACAUAGAUAUUUUUUUUUCUUUUGUGGGGAAACUUAAGAUUUUUCUUAUAUUUUAACAAUAUAUUCUCCAAAAAAUCAUUAUUCAAAAUAUUAUUUUUACACAAUAAUGACCAUCAAGCCAAAUAUUUGGUGAAAAACAAAUAAAAUGGGAAGUACAAUUUUUUUGAUCGGUACACAUGUACAAUUUUUUUCAUAGUAAGAGUGCAGCAAGACUCCAGAAUCCAACAUAGAUAUUUUUUUUUCUUUUGUGGGGAAACUUAAGAUUUUUCUUAUAUUUUAACAAUAUAUUCUCCAAAAAAUCAUUAUUCAAAAUAUUAUUUUUACACAAUAAUGACCAUCAAGCCAAAUAUUUGGUGAAAAACAAAUAAAAUGGGAAGUACAAACUGAUGUCCACAAUGCACAAUGAACUCGUUCUGAAAUGAUCCAGCUUUGGGGAAAAAUGAAAAAAGAAGAGAGAGAGAGAGAUGGGGGUGGGGGUGGGCGUGGGCGUGGGCGUGGGCGUGGGGAUGGGGAUGGGGCCUGGGGGAGUGUUAAACGACGUCGCAUGUGCAAUUAUUGCUUUCAGCAAUGCUUUUCUAUGUGUAAAACCAAAGACGGCAGAAAAAUAUUGUAAGGAUAUGUUUAUUUACUUUAUUCUUCAUGAAAAAUAUGUUAUUUUUUCAUGGAAGUUCGUGAUUUUAAUAUGUUUGAUUGACAUUUUUUUCAUAAAAAAUAUUUUUUAAAAGUUGGUUAUCUGAUCAUAUUUUUCUCAAAAAUAAGGAAAAUAUUUUAUUUGGGGAAGCUAGGUAAAACAUUUUCCAUGCAAUUCAUACUUUCUACAAACUCUCUCUCUCUCUCUCUCACUCUCUCAUCUACACACAAACAAAGAUGAAAAAGUAUAAUAUAUUUUUAAUCGAGAUUUAAGUCAAUCAAAUACAUUUAACUAAAGGUUUCAUCGAUCUAGAUUGAGUAAGCUCACGGCUCGUGCGCAGUCCAAUAAAAAAAAACUCAAGCUUUUUUAAGCCCAAACCAAGCAAAAGUUGACCAUAAUUUGGAGGCUUGAAUCGGGCUUUUGGCUUAGGCUUUAUCAAGCCAGGCCAACUCAAUAAUUUUUUAUUAUUUUUUUAAAAUUCAUGAAAUAUUCACAUAAAAAAGUCAAGUUUAAGUUUUUCUUCUAAACUAAAAUACAAUAAAAAUUUAAUCAUAUAAAUACAAUAAUAUAUGAAUUAGAGUACAAUUUUAAAAUAUAUAAAUAUCCUAAUAUUCGUUUGUAAAAUUAGAAAUAUUAACAAGUAAUAUUAUAUUAACUCAUAUACAGUAAAAUUUUAAAUUUAUAUGAAUAAAAUAUAAUGGAAUAUUAAUGAAUAUGAUAAGAAAUUAAAAUAUAGAUAAUUGUAACAUAAUUAUGAAUAUUAAUUAUGUAAGCAUAUUUAUAUAUAAAUCAUAUUUUAUUGAUUUAAAUCUUAAAUUAAAUAUUAAUAAAACAAAAAAGUUGAAAGUUGGCAUCAAAUCGGGUUGGGCCAAUGACACGGGCCAUUUUCAUGAGCUAGCCCAUACAGCUUGACGAGCCACAUGGGCCGGCCCAGCUCGAGCCGAGUCCCAAAUUUUGGGCUUAGCCCGAGCCUUGGCUUGAUUCUAUCAAACCCCAGGCCGAGCCAGUUCGAGCAGCCUGAGCCAUAUGCAUCAGUAAAUGCAAAGCAUGGCAUCCCCAAUCGAAAAGUUACAAAUGUGAGUUACUUUCUACCAAUAAAGAUACAGACGAUAAUGAUAUAGAAUAUUAAUAUUUUGAAGAUUGCAGUUCUGUAUCUUUUGUAGCUUGAAUUUUCUCAGGAAAAAAAGACAAAAGUGCAAUAAAUAGGAUCAAUUCCAGCAAGCCUUUCAGAACAUAUUAUUAUGUUUAUAGACAUGCACUUCUAUGUAGCAAAAAAAUAAAAAAUUAAAACAACGAGACGCCGUUCUGCAACUAUUUUUCUCCCUCUUAGUAAAAAGAUAGAAUACAAUUGAAGUAGGUCCUAAUACUUUAAAACCAUGGCGACUAAGCAAUGACACUCUAGUUUCAGAAGCACAAUGUAUUCAUAAACUCGGGUCUGGACUCGUUUUAUCUCUCAUAUACAAAUAAAGAGAGAGAGAGAGAGAGAGUUAAAAGUGUUAUUUGUAAUACAAUAGGCAUAGCCAAUGACAUCUGAAAUUCAACCCACAGGAUAAUGAAAGACUGACCAAAGUUUUCUGCAAGCUCCAUGUCAAGUUAUAGAAUGAAUAAUACAAAAGAAAACUGUCAUUAAUGUUGGCUUCAGCUUCUUCCCUGUCUUCCAUGUUAAAUUACUUGACAUAAAGAAAGACAGAGAAAAAGGGUAAUAGGAUACUUAUACAGCAACUGCAAAUAAACAAAGUUCGAGGCUCUGACAAUAAAAUAGCCGUGCAGGAGGCUUCAGCAAAAUGUGGAUGCAUCAGUAGUUUCGCCAUGUUAGCUUAGGGUCCAGAUAGCUGGAUUCACAAAGAAGCCCCAAGUACCAUUAUAAAGAAGGAUCAGCACGAAACAAGUAAUUUGAAAUUAUCAUCCAGAUAAUCUGUCAGAGAAAAUAGCAAUAACUUAUACUGACACAACAGCAUUAUUCUCAUACACAUGUCAAGGCAUUUAAGUGUGUGCAUAGACUCACACAUGCAUACACAUUCAAUGUCAGGGAUGAGCAUAAAAGUGAAUAUCAUUUUUGCUCAAAAUAACGCAAAGGGAUUUGAUAAAAUUAUACGACUUUAGUAACCUAAUUGAAAAACAUACAAGUUAGAGUGCCAACCUUAUUCCAGAAAAUAAAAAAAGAAAGAAAAUGUCAACUUUGUGAGGUUCCUCUCAGUUUCCCCACAGCUAUAAACUCCAAUAUCCUUUCCUUGACAGCAGUUAAUCCCUAAUUGUUUUCAUCAAGAAUCUUAUGAGCACCUACAACAUUGUUGUCUAUCGUUUCUUUUCUACUGGAUGAGUGAACCCCACCUACCUGUGCUGGAUUGCUUGGGUUAGAGGAUGUUUCGCUAAGAUUUUGAGUCCUUUCAACUCCACCUACCUAUGCUGGAUAGCUAUGUAUUCGGGGAUGUUUGACUAAGCUUGCUGUCAAUAUACUAAUGACCUGUCACGUAUACAAUAGUCCCACUAGGCAUUAUCUCCUGUUGGAAUAAGUGUUGAAAACUAGUUGAAAUACAUAUUAUGCCUGGUGCUGCAUUUUCACGGGUCACGAAGUAUGGUUGUUAUUGGUCACUGCUUUAGAGGGGUUAUUGUCUUUCCUGCAUCAUCAAUUACUAAACUUGGAUUUUGUGUUGCAGUAACGAUGGUAAGCACUUGCACAUGUUACAUUUGGACUGAAAAGGACGAAGACAACAAGAGGAUCUAAGGGAAUCAAGCGUAAAGGGAGAGUUUUGAGAAGCAUAAAAGCUCUCUAAAGACAAUUAUAUCCUUCAACAACUAUCAUUGAGUUCUUUCAGUUUGUAAAACAGUUACCGCCUGAUUUUUAAUUUUUACAUGCACAUUCCAAAUUAGGUAUAUUUGCAAUUUCCAGAAAUUCUAGGUUAUAUUCUUUAAAGACCAAGUCAUUACUUUUCUAAUACAAAGCAUUAAGACCAGUUUUGCAGGUGAUCAACAAGUUUACCUAUAAGAGUUCAGAGUCCAACUAGUCUAGAAUAUCUCAAGUCUGUAUGAAGCAUUAUGAUGAUUCUAAAUAAAAAUUGGAAGUUGAUUGUUCGGGUGGAUUUGCUUGAACCUUUGCAAGGCAAAGCACGUUCUUCUCAUCUGCAAUUCUCACGAUUCCACAUUUUCUGUACCUAGGUCAAUACCUGUUCUCAUCUUCUCUUCUCUUCUUAUCUGCAAUUCUCGUGAUUCCACACUUUCUAUAUCUAUGUCAAUACCUCUUCUCAUCUUCUGUUAUCAUCUGCAAUUCUUGUGAUUCCACAUUUUCUGUACCUAUCUCAAUACCGGUACUUAUCUUCUCUUCUCAUCUGCAUUUCUCAUGAUUCCACAUUUUCUGUACCUAUGUCAAUACCUGUUUCCCCUUUUCUUUUUAAAAAAAAUAAAAAAUGAUAAUAAUAAUAAAAAAUAAACCCUUGGGCCGUCGACAGCCAAGAAAUACCAGAACUUUUCAACAUCAUUAUCCAACUUUUUACAAUUCAAGGGAUAAAUCGCUCCACGCAAGAAAGCUUCAGAAGCUUCCAGGGGUUUGCCCAGCCUUGCGACAAAUUAAGCAUGAAAGUUUUUGCUUAGAUCACAGGAAAACUAUUUACAUUCAGGUAAAAUAGCAUUUGGGCGAAAAGAUUGGUACCAUCAAUAUGAUAAAAAGGUCACUAUAUUAAAGAGUUAAAAAACAUCUAAAAUCUAGUUUCUCAACUAUAUCCCAUGAACAACAAUAAUAGAUUCAAAAACUUAACGAGAACAUCUCGAUAGAUUCUUUAUUUUUAACAAGCAUUUUUGUACAUAAUAAAGAGCAUCUUUAAAUUGUAAAAUUUUCAGCAAACUCCAAUAAGCUGUUUAUUUUUGCUCUUUAUUUUACAUUUUCCAACAAUCAUUCAUUUUUUCUCUCCCAGUUUUCACUAAACAUAUAUUCUUAAAUUUCAAUAACCUGAAUAUUCAAAGAUAAAUUAAAUUAUUUAUUUAUUUAAGUAAUGGACUUGGAAACUUGCAAUUUAUUAAAUGUAGUCAUUAUACAAUACAAAUUGAGAGUUAGUUUGACUCCCCCAAAUGUAGAGAGCCUCACUCACUCACUCACUCACUAUUCAAAAAAGUUAAAAUGAAGAGCUUAUUGGAACCCAAUUUCAAGAUUUGGCUCUCUAAAUUAGAAAGCAUCUUAUGUUUAAUGAGUUUAUUGAAGAUGCUUUGAGAAUGCAUCAUAAGAUUCAACACUGACUCAAAAUUUUAGAUGCAAUGGGAGAGGAACAGAAGAAAGGUGCCAAAUAAUGAAAUGUGGACUGUAUUAUGAAUCUGAGAUGAUAAAAACUGCAGACCUGUAUUCACCCCAAGGCAAUGCAGUAAACCAAUCAAGAUAAUUACGUGUCACAUUAAAUUCACUCGAACUAGAUUCCAAUAAUUGCAAAUUUAUCAAUUCUUCUUCUAUGACUUGCAAAACGUGAGGUGCGAGUUUAUCCUUCUUUGGGUAAAGCCUUUCCCUGAACAUUGCAGCAGUAUUUCAGAAACCAAUGCCAAUGAACAAGUUGUCAUCAAUUUAUAAAUAAGAUCCUUGUUUGUGGAGUAAAAGCAGUAAAAAGGCAAAAAUCACUUGAAACUAAAAAGCACAGAUCAAGAUUAGCAACAAAUUUCAACUUAACACAGAUUUUUGGGGAAAAAAAUGACUUUUAUUAUAGUAACCUUUGGAGAAUGUAUGGUUAAAAAAAAAGGAGUAAAAUUAUUUUACUCGGAGAAUGUGCCAUCGAAAAAUGAAUUUGGGAGAAAAAUGAAUUUUUAGAUAAUGGGGUUCAAACGAAGGCAUAAGUUCAUACCUAUCUUCAGCGAGAAAAUAUUAGUCAUGGAUUAAUCAAGAGAAAAAAUUAAUAAUUGACACCGAUUUAAAGCAGAUUUUUAGCAGUAAAGAAAAAUAACAAACUGAUUUUUAAAGCAGAGAUUAUGUUGCUAAUCUUCUCGUACCAGUUACUAGAAAAAAAUUUAUGUUCACAACCUUCUUCUAGCCUAAUGUGUUACAACCCAAUUUUUCUUAGUCAAAAACCAAAAAUUAACUAGUAACAAAGUCAAUUAAGGACUAAAAUAAAAUAAGAUAUUUUAAUGGGGUUUAUUUUAUAAUUGGCAAUAUAUGAGGGUUAAAUUGGAUUCAAUUUAAAGCUUGGAAUUUACUUUUAUAUUAAGGGAAGCUAGAAGGAUUAAAUUUUAUAUUAAAUGGAGUUGAAGGACCUCCCUUGCAAUUUUUAGUUAGUGGGUCUUUAUAUACCUUUGACCCAUUAUUUUUUCUCUCCAAACACACACACACACACACACUAGAGAAAACGUUUUCUGGGUCGAGAAAGACCGAGAGGAAAAGAGAAGGAAAGAAAGAGAGAAAAAUGAAGGGAAGAAGAAGAAGAAGAAGAGUUCAAGCUAGGGUUCUCAACUUCUUCAAUUUCUCUUUUGAUUUAGAAUGGUAAGUAUUAAGUAUAUUGAAUUAAUUUUUUUUAAGGGUUAUGAGAAAUUUGCUUUAAUUCAAAGUUUGGCAAGAAUCAUGUGUUAUUGAUAUGUAUUUGAUGUUAUAAAUAAGGAUAUAGCAAAGAAAUAUUUAUUUGGAUGUUGAUGUUGAAGAAAGCGGAAACUUUGGAAAUGGGUUUGUGAGAUAAAUGCAUAUUCUUUGAAAUUAUUGUGAUUAUAUGAUGCUAAACACUUAAAUUAAGGAUUUGAGUUUGAAAUUCUCCAAAUUUUCAGCCAUUUUCGAGCUAUUGUACUAUAGGUGCUAUUUUUGAAAAUCUGCCCGUAUAAGCACUAUUUCUGUCCAUGCUAUUAUGGGCUCAUUAUAUAGUUGGUAUCUUUAGUAUAUUUGAUUAUUGUUGAGUGUAAAGCAAGUAAAUGUCGAUUUACCAACAUUUUAUUUGAAUAGUUUGCAUUUUGAGGGACUAUCUUAUCCUAUUCAUAUUAUAGGUAUUAAUUUGAAGAAAAUUGAUUAUUGUUCAGGUGAUUUUAGUUUAUAUUUCAGGGAAAACUCUGUCAAAAUUUUGUUAAAAUAUUUCCCAAUCAAAUAAGUCAAGAUUGCCUUGGUGGUGGGUCUAGCGUUCAGCUGGUAACUAUCAUCGGCGCACGACAAGUGUCGAGUCCACUAAGAUGAUUCGGGACGGGUCAUGUCAUAAUGUGAAAUGCACACACACACAAUCCAUGUAUAAACAUAUACAAAUCACUAAUAUAAUAUCACACAUGUUCAUCUCAGCCUAUAAAAUUCCAUCAAGGCAUAUUCGGACAGAUUCCAACCAAAGAAAAGAAGGGUGGUAAAGGAGUAAAAACCAGAGAAACUCAAAGAGAUUUCUUAAUCUUUUAAUUGCAUUCUCUGUGCCACUUGAAAUUCCUUUAUUAUCCAACGUAAAGCAACGGGUGCAAGUCCGACAGUACGCACCCAUCAUGCGACAAUCUGUUUUAGCAAAUGUGUCUGUCUUCUUGCACAUCAAGCAUCUGUGUUCAAGUUAUGAGCAUAGUAUCUUCAAACAUUAUUAUACAUCUGUCCCUUCCCAAGACAAAACAAGGGAACAAGCAAAUCACAAGUGAAAAAUCAUUGAUAACAUAUCAAAUGACAUUGCCAUUCAUCAUAUUCGCAAUAUACCAAAAACAUUAUUAUCAGAAUCAUGCCUAACGUCAGCUGGACCAUUUUUCAGCCUGGCAGCCUUUUCCCUAGAUGCUGAUAGUUAUUUUUAAAGUGUAUGCUGACAUGUUAAUGCCACAAGACCAGAUAAAAAAUGGUAGCAAAUGCCCAAAAAAAAGGCCCGUUUAGUACAUUAUUGUCUAAAGAAAAGAAAAAAUUAGGUACAAAGAAAGAGAAGUAGGCAUCAUAUUGGAAUUGAGAUGACUUGUAUUUCUAGUGAAUCAUCAUUUAGCUAACAGGGAUGCAGCGGAACACCUUUCAAGACUAAAAAGGGACUUGCGAACUAACAUGACAUUUGCCAUAAAAACCUAACUAAAAUGAAAAAAAAAAAUAGUCCAAAUUCAAAAUAAAAAUUUCUGGUAUAAUAAUUCACAUAAAAUAUCUCUUGCUUUAUUCAAUAAUAAUAAUAAUAAAUAAAUAAAGACAGGAAAAAUAAAAGUUCUAUUUUCUUCAAUUUUGGCCUCGAAGCUGAAACCAUUCUGUGUUUAAGAAAAAUAGGUAUUUAAACAUAGGUAUAUUCCUAUCACCAUAGAUUCUAAAAGGAGAAAACAGAACAAUAGAUAGUUACGAAAGGCUCGAUAUUAUGCACCCAACAAUUGUAAAUCAUGAGGCAUCCAACUAGACAUCAUGAAUUAGUACUGCCAAGCACUCAGUAGGUUCAAAUGUUUGAGGUAUAAUGCAAGUACUAACACAGCUCUUGCAUCACAACAAAGCAACAAAGAUACAAGGCAGAACACCAACUGUAAGUUAUGCAGAAGAAGGCAUACCAAAAACAGUGGUUUUGUCGUCAGUCUCUAAUCCUAAUUCCUGCACAAUGCAAAUAAAUUUGUUAUUAGAUAAUUCCCAAAUCAUCUCAUGACAUCUAAACUAUUCAAACAGACAUACAGCAAGAACAGAGUCUUCAAUAACUCUUAGAAAAUGUAUAUUAUAAAGUAAGCAAAUCAUAAUGCUAAAGUAACAUGCUUUCUUUAUGACCUUCAGUUGCCAUUCAACAAGUAUCGUCGCUGCUCUCCACUUUUCUUCAAUUGCCUUUGCUAUUGAUUCCUAAGUACUGCCAAAAAGUAGUGAAGAUUAAAUGAAUAGGGAACAGCAAUUGAGAGUGCCAGAAUUGAUCUCUAGUCCAGACAGAUAUACCUGGAUCUUACUAAUCUCCAUCUCCUCCUUCACUAACUCCAGAGUAAGUUUUAGUCGAUGAUGAACUUGAAUUUCAAGAUCGUGACGAGCAUCAGAAAUAUGGAAGGUAGAAACUUUGACGGGGAUAAUACAGUCUUAUUACAAGAAAGCAACAACCCCUUAGCUCCAGGCCCAAAGUGUGGGGACAAAAUGAAUGUCCUUAUUGUCCUAUUGUCAAAUAUUAUCGAAGAAUGAAAUAAAACAUCUUUGUCCGGAGCACCUUGAACAAGCAACUCAAGAUAAAAUAAUAACUAAUUCCAUAACAGGGCAAAAUUUAUAUUGUAGCUUUCCUUUAUAUGGUACAAAAUUUUCUAGCUUUCUACCAUUUCAAAUUAGGAAAUUCAUCAAGGGGCAAGGGAUAAGGGAUGCAUUUAAGUUGAUAACAAAUCUCAAAAAAUAGAUUAUUUAAUCUUGUAGCGAUUCCGAGAUCUUAUAAGACUACGAGAUGCUGAAAACCCACAGGUGGGUGAUGCUAAGACCAAAAGUUACAAUGUUACUCUUCUAGGUAGAAUUGGAGGCAGAUUCUAGAAAAACUAGAAGCUUCAUUCUCAGAAAAAUGUUGUCGAUAAGGCUGUAGACUACUUACAUCUAGUUCUUCAAGAACUUGCUGGCACUGUGAUUUGUUUGCGCCUGAUAUUGCAGCUCCAAAAUUUGCUAAUCUUGGAUAAAAUCACAUAUAUGCUGCAGAUAUUGAGAAGUGAAGAGGUAGCAUAGAUACUACAUGUAGACAAAACCAAUUGAAAAACUUCAACUUAAUUGUGAUAUUGUCAUGUUCAAUUUAGGCGAUAGAUUCCUUUGUUAAGUAAAAGUACAACAUUCUUGUGAUAAAAGGGAUGUUACACUGUCCUUCCAAAGUACAAAAAAUGCAAUUAUUUAUGCAUGAAAUUAGUGAAUCAAAUAUCUUAAAAUAAAAAAAUCUUUCAUGAGCACAAUCAUGGACUAUCUUUCGAACAGCAGUUAGUAUCAUACAUGACCUCAGACCUCAUAAACAGCAAAAGAAAGGAAUCAAAUAGUUGAUAAGAAUAAUUUGCAAAUAUAUAAUAGGAAAAGCAUGGAAAUAUUCUUCUUGAGGUGUAUAAAUAAGUAGAAAAAAUAUUUGUGAGGUAAUUAAAGGAGAUGAAAAUAUAAAGAAACGAGCAGAACUUUAUACCUACAAAAAUCAUGAAUGAAGAAAGAGUCAUACAAACCAUCUCUGUCAUUCGAAGUCGCCUGUGACCAAUAAGAACCACCUGAUCUCCUUGGAUGCUUGUAAUCUAAAAUCAUUAAGCCAGCUUGAUGAAUCAAAGAAGUUUUUUACCACAGAUAUAUAACUUCAACAAUAACUUAACGAAACUAAACGAAAGAGAAUUACCCGAGCUAGCGUACCACCUUCAUGGAGGCGAUUAAAUAACUCUUUUCCUUUGAGAUCGUAUAUAUUUUCCUCAUCUAUACCAUCAGUUACUGCCUCAUCUUUAAGUAGGAAAGCACCAGCAUAAGGGCCUUGCGGUUUUCUACUCUCUACUAAAGCUUCUAGCAAUCCUACAGAAAAAUGGUAUGUACAAGAAGGGUCACAGACCAGCUCACUAGUUACUAAGAAUAUUAGUAGAGUUUAUUUUACCUUCAUCUUAUAUAAGAUAUAAAAACACCAUUUAGGAAAAAAAAGGCUUUCAAUUUUUCACCACUUCUUUCUUGUAUCAAAAGAAAUUCUAUAAUUUAGACAAGCACUAUUUGUAAAAAGCUAAAGUAAGCAGAUAGGAUAUAAAAGACAAAUUACAGAGAGCAAGCCAUGUUGCUUGAACUCGGGUGUGGGUGUCCGAUGCAUAUCUAGGAGUCAGAUUUUUUCUCUCUAAAAUCUAGGAUACGAAAUAGAGCUAAAAAAAUUCAAAAUUUAGACAUGAGCAUGUGGAUAUGUCUUAUAUUGCAUAUUUAACCGUAAAUCUAAAAUAAAUUAAAUUGCAAGUUGUGAUACUUCUUUUGAAAUUUCAUUUCAAGUCUAGAAAUGUAAAAUACAAACUAGAAAUCUUUAUAAAUACAAUACCAAAUUAACAAAAAUGAUAUAAAGGACACUCUUUUGCUUUAAAGGAUCCGAGAAGGAUCCCUUGUCAUGUGUGUCCAAUAUAGGCAAUUCCUCUCAAAUGGAGAGUCCAAAUAAGCGUGUUCAGAAUUUAAUGACAAAAAAAUCAUAGCAUGAUUACAUAAAGAAUGGUGCACACAAGGUAUCCCUUGAAAUACUAUGAAAUUAUAUAUUAGUAAAUUAUCAGUACAUCCAUCAGAACUUGAACUUACAAGAAUUGUGCACACCAGGUAUCCCUUGAAAUACUAUGAAAUUAUAUAUUAGUAAAUUAUCAGUACAUCCAUCAGAAUCUGAACUUACAAGAAUUGCCUUGUAAAUCUGAUGCUAGUUAAUCAAUAAAGUUAUGGCACAGAGAAGUAAUAUUGAAUACGAGAUGUUAAAAACAAAAUAUCAAAUGAAGUACUCAACCAUAAGUAGCCAUACCUUCACAUAAAUAGGCACAUAAAAUCCAGGAAUAAUGGUCUAUGUGGCAGAGGUAAUGCUAUAACCUGCACAAGUAAAAGAAAUCUCGAUUAUUAAAUAUCUUUAAAAAUAAGAUGGAACAACAAAUACCAACUAAUCUCUUAACAUAAUCUAAUGAUUUUCAUCCUUUCUAAUAUAUAAUUCAAUAACAGAAAAUCUGAUACAAAUGAAGAUAUUUGCUUCUUGUUUGGGACCCCGCAGCAUUUUGAUAAGCCUCCCAUACGGGUCACUUAUCAACGACGUCACAAGAAGAGCAUGAAAAGAAGUUAGAAGGAAUAUUAGUUGUUAGAUCUAUUAAGUCAUGUGGUUACGAGUCUAUAAAUAGUGUAGGCAAAGGCUGAAAUAGGCAUUCAAAAAAGAGGGAAAAUCUGAAUCACUUAGGAGAGUGGCAGCUCUCGAAACCAGCCUUGUUAUUUUCUUAAUCCAUUCCUUGUUCAAUUUCAUUCAGUUAAAUAAAAUUCUUAUUCUAAUUCUGAUUGUGUGUUUGAUCAGUCCAGAGUUUCGUUGUAAUUGGGCCAGUUAUUCAUCGGGUUGUCAGCAGGUUCUAACAUUUUGGUAUUAGAGCACUUGAGAUUCUGGGAAAUGAAUGCCGGUUACAAGGAUGGACCAUCGAAUUGAAGCAUUAGAGGAUGCGGUAGAACAGAUUCCACCAUUGGGUAAUUCCAUGGUUGAAUUGAAAGGAGACUUGGAGCACUUGAACGCAAGGCUGGGGAUGGAGCUGGGCAAAUUGAAUGAUAAGAUCGAAGCAAGUCUAGCAAUGAGCCGGAAGGAAUUAAACGAGGACCUUCAGAUAUCGGCGAAGGGGAUACCACAGGAAUCCACCAGCGUGACUGAAGCAGGUAGUGAAAUGAAGUCUACUGCCUCUAUCACUAAAAUUACCGGAUCGGAACCCAGAGCCACUGAGAAUACAAUCGUUUCUGUUGCUGAAGAUAACUUUCGAAAACUGGAGCUACCGCUAUUUAAUGGGGUCGAUCCGGACUCCUGGAUAUUCCGCGCUGAGAGGUAUUUCAGCAUAAACAAGUUAUCGGACACCGAGAAGGUGAUGGCAGCUGGGGUGUGUAUGUAAGGAAGUGCCCUAUCCUGGUUUCAAUGGGAAGAUGGAAGGCGGCCUAUACGCAGUUGGGUGGAGCUUAAACAGAGGCUAUUAGAGAGGUUCCGUGAUACCCAGUAUGGAACCCCACACCAACGGUUCCUUAUGAUCAGACAGACAGGAACUGUUGCAGAGUAUAGGGAAAAGUUUGAAGUAAUGUUUGCUCCCCUGAUGAAUGUAAGUGAGGACACACUAGAAGGAGUCUUCAUUAAUGGGCUGGAAGAAGAAGUGCAGGCAGAAGUAUUGAUGGUGAGACCGGCAGGACUUUCACAAAUCAUAGAUAUGGCACAACGAGUGGAGGGUAGGAACAAUUGGAUCAACAAGGCGAAGGAGCGAGAACGCCCACAAAUUCGGGGUGUAACUGCUCUGAUUCCAACUAGGGCUGAAAAUCGGACAAUUCCUUGGGGCUUGAGUAAGGGAACCAUUGUACAGGACAAAGGUGGAGGAAUGGGUUCAGGAAGCUCUACUGUAGGGUUCAAAAGACUAACCCAGGUUGAGAUUCAAGCAAAAAAGGACAAGGGCUUAUGUUCUCGAUGCGACGAAAAGUUUCAUGUUGGGCAUAAGUGUUGCAAUAGGAAACUACAAGUGCUGUUGGUGGAUGAAGAGGAGCAAAACGGGGCAGGAGGGGAGUGUUACCUCUCCUAAGACUAUGAAGGUGAGAGGAACGAUGGAAGGGUAGGAUGUAGUUGUACUAAUUGAUUCCGGGGUUACGCACAACUUCAUGUCAUGGGAAUUAAUUAAGAAACUCAAUCUGUCAAUAACGGAGACCAGUAGAUAUAGGGUACAAGUGGGAACUGGUAUGGCAAUUAAAGGAGAAGGGAAAUGUAGGGGAGUGGCAUUAUACAUGCAGUCCAUAUUAGUGGUGGAGGAUUACUUACCGAUAGACCUGGGAAGCUCGGACAUAAUACUUGGAAUGCAGUAGCUUAGCACCUUGGGCAAGGGUUCAAGUUAACUGGAAGUCAUUGGAGAUGAGAAUUCCUCUGGGAAAUAGCACUAUCACUCUGAAAGGAGAAGGGUUGAGCAAAUCAUUGGUCUCACUAAAAUCAAUGAUCAAAACCUUACAUAAGGAGAGAGAAGGGAUUGUAAUGGAGCUGUGCUCGGUUCAAGUGGAUGAGCAACCUGUUGAAUUGGAUAUUCCACUGCCGGUGCAGGAGUUGAUAGUGAAGUAUAGGGCGGUAUUUGAAUCACCAGUAGGGUUGCCUCCUCUCAGAGGUCAUGAGCAUGCAAUCACUCUGAAGGAAGGAAGUGAACCCAUUAGUGUAAGACGCUACAGAUACCCCUAUGCACAAAAGGCUGAGAUUGAGAAACUAGUAACUCAAAUGCUGAAGGCAGGAAUAAUUCAAGCAAGUAGUAGUCCUUUUUCUAGUCCGAUACUGUUAGUGAAGAAAAAGGAUGGGGAUGGAGAUUUUGUGUAGAUUAUCGGGCCUUAAAUCGAGCUACCAUACCUGAUCGCUUCCCAAUUUCGGUUAUUGACGAGUUGUUAGAUGAACUCAUGGCACCACCAUCUUUUCCAAACUGGAUUUGAAAUUAGGGUAUCAUCAAAUACACCUUAAGGCUGGAGAUGAAUACAAAUCUGCCUUUCGAACUCACGAGGGGCAUUACGAAUUUUUCGUAAUGUCGUUUGGGCUUACUAAUGCCCCAGCAACAUUCCAAUCUUUGAUGAAUAAACUAUUCAAGGGGCUACUAAGGAAAUGUGUAUUAGUUUUCUUUAAUGACAUCCUAGUCUACAGUCGGCACAUUGGAGGAACAUUGUGAACAUUUAAGGAUGGUAUUUGAUGUCUUACAGGAGCGGCAAUUGUAUGCAAAUCGAAAGAAAUGUGAGUUUGGAUGCACUACCUUGGAAUACAUGGGGCACUUAAUUAGGUCGCAAGGAGUGUCAGCUAACCAAAAGAAAAUUCAGGUCAUGCAGUCACGGCCGUUACCCAAGGACCUGAAAGAAUUAAGGGGGUUCUUGGGGUUAACGGGAUAUUACCGAAGAUUUGUGGAAGGAUAUGGACAAAUAGUUGAACCACUCACCAGACAUCUGAACAAAGAUAGCUUCCACUAGGAUCAAGAAGCUAAUAUAGCCUUUCAGAAGUUGAAGAAUGCCAUCACAGAAGUUCCAGUUUUGGCACUGCCCAAUUUUCCUAGGCGGCCACUCAGGGGUACUAAAGUCAUAUAAAAGGUUGUCCAAGGAGCUAUUUUGGACAGGGAUGAAAAAAGAUAUUCAGAAAUUCGUAGAGGCCUACUUGGUUUGCCAGCAAAACAAAUAUUUAGCUGUCACCAGCUGGGCUAUUACAACCUUUACCUAUACCAGAAGCAAUAUGGGAGGACAUAACUAUGGAUUUUAUAAAAGGAUUGCCGAAGUCUCGAGGUUGGGACACAGUGUUGGUUGUGGUGGAUAGGUUGAGUAAAUAUGCUCAUUUUUUGACAUUGAAGCAUCCUUUUACUGCUAAGACGGUAGCCGAAUCAUUUAUUCGAGGAGUGGUUAGACUUCAUGGAUUUUUCCACUCAAUAGUAACGGACAGGGAAAAGGUUUUUCUCAGUUUGCCUGGUCCAAACUUUUUGUCUCCAAGGUACUAAACUGAAUCGAAGCACGGCCUAUCACCCCCAAACUGAUUCCGGUCAAUCAUUGUUUGGAGACCUACCUAAGAUGCUUCGCUAACAGCCAUCCCCGUUCAUGGUCUGAUUGGAUUCCUUAGGCAGAGUUCUAGUAUAACUCCUCGUUUCACACAUCCACUAAAACUACUCCGUUUAAGGCUGUUUAUGGGAGGGAUUCUCCUUCUGUCAUACGUUAUAGAUCACAACACACACCUUUGGCUGAUCUUGACCGAAAAUUACAACAACGUGAUGAGAUGAUUGGCAUCUUGAAGUCCCAACUAGAAAGGGCUCAUUCCAGAAUGAAGAAGGUAGCAGAUAGUGGGAGAAGAGCAGUUCAAUUUCAAGAAGGCGAUUUGGUUUAUCUGAAACUCCAGCCAUACAGGCAGAAGUCCUUGGCUAAACGUGCUAAUGAAAAAUUAUCUCCAGAUUCUUUGGUCCUUAUACCGUCAUCCAGAAGGUAGGGGCAGUGGCUUACAAACUCCAACUACCAGCAGAGUCCAAUAUACAUCCGGUGUACCAUGUCUACAGUUGAGGAAGGCAGUGGCCUCUACUACCUCAGUCUAACCCCUUCCCGCACUUCUCAAUCCAGAAUUAGAGUGGAAGGCACAACCAGCAAAAGUGUUGGGGAUUAGGCCAGCAAGUGAGCUGGGUAAUGAAAUGCCAGAAGUACCGAUUCAAUGGCAGGACCUUCCCCCUUUUGAAGCAUCAUGGAAACCCUUUGAGCUCAACAACUCUCAAUUUUCGGAAUUCCACCUUGGGGACGAGGUGCUUGCUUUAGCGGGGGGUAUUGAUAAGCCUCCCAUAUAGGUCAAUUAUCAACGACGUCACAAGAAGAGCAUGGAAGGAAGUUAGAAGGAAUAUUAGUUGUUAGAUCUGUUGAGUCAUGUGGUUACGAGUCUAUAAAUAGUGUAGGCAAAGGCUGAAAUAGGCAUUCAGAAAAGAGGGAAAAUCUGAAUCACUUAGGAGAGGGACAGCUCUCGAAACCUGCCUUGUUAUUUUCUUAAUCCAUUCCUUGUUCAAUUUCAUUCAGUUAAAUAAAAUUCUUAUUCUAAUCCCGAUUGUGUGUGUGAUCAAAUAUCUUAAAACAAAAAAUCUUUCAUGAGCAUGAUCAUGGCCUAUCUUUAAAAAGGAUUCGCAGUUAGUAUCAUAUAUGACCUCAGAUCUCAUAACACAGCAAAAGAAAGGAAUUAAAUAGUUGAUAAUCAGUUAUGUGCAUUCAGGCAUACAAGUGCAUUUUAGGCAUGUACACCAAAAAGUUCAAUUGUAUUAGGAAGGUGAUGUGUAAAACAUCUGCAUAACUUCAUUCCAAUUAACAUAGUUUGGAAGCAUUCAAAAACAAAGGCUGGAGAAUUGAGCUAGUACAACACCUCAAUGUGAUUCAAAGUAGUGAUUCUGUCACUAGAAUAGACCUUUUAUAUCAAAUUUAAACAAAUAUAAGCGUGUGCAUUCAUACAAGUGCAAAUUUUUUACUGUGUUAUUCUGCAUACAGAAAAAGAAAAGAAAAAAAAUCAGAAAAAGGAAAAAUUAUACCUGAGUACAAGUUUGUACAUGAUCGCGCCAAAGAGAAAUAGUUUUCAAAACAUCUCUAAAAGAUGAUAUAACUUCAAAUGACGUUGCCUUAGAAACAUUGUCAUCCUUAUCAUAAGGCUUUUCCUAAAAGAUAUGAGAACAGAAGUCCUCAGAAGUUCAUUUUACAAAUUUGGAUUAUUAUAUGAACUAUUCACACGAGAGAUCUGCACACACCUUGAGAUGAUCGACCUUGACCAUAAGAGGAUUCUCACUAACCUGCACAAGACAAUUAUUUCAGUUGUGCAUCUAUAGCACAGAGAUGGAUAAAGCUAUUAAUUUGCGAAAAUAUACCAACAACAUGGAAAAAUUCUGCUUGAGGUGCAUAAAUAAGUAGAAAAUAUAUUUGUAAGGUAAUUAAAGGAGAUGAAAAUAUAAAUAAACAAGAGAAGAACUUUAAAUCUACAAAAUCAUGAAUGAAGAAAGAUCCUACAAACCAUCUCAGUUAUUCAAAGUUGUCGGUGACCAAUAAGAACCAACUGAUCCCCUUGGAUGCCUGUAAUCUGAGAUCAUCAAGCUCGCUUGAUGAAUCAAAGAAGUUUUUUACCACGGAUAUAUAACUUCAAACAAUAACUUAACAAAGAUAAAAGAACGAGAAUUACUGAGCUAGCGUACCAACUUCGUGGAGAAGAUUAAAUAACUCUUUUCCUUUGAGAUCGUACAUAUUUUUCUCAUCUGUAUUCUCAGCUACUGCCUCAUCUUUAAGUAGGAAAGCACCAACAUAAGGUGCUUACCAUUUUCUACUCUCUACUAAGGCUUCUAACAACUUUGGGUCCUGCAGAAAAGGGUAUGUACAGAAGGAUAGGCAGAUCAGCUCUCUUCUAGUUACUAAGAACACGAGCAAAGUUUAUCUUACCUUCAUCUUAUAUAGAAAAACCAUUUAAAAAAUAAUAAUAAGAUAAAAGCUUUCAACUUUUCACUUCUUUCAUUUAUCAAAAGAAAUUCUAAAAUUCCAACAAGAACUAUUUGUAAAAAGUUAAAAGCUAAAGCAAGCAGAUAGGAUAUAAAAGACAAAUUACAGAGAGUAAUCCAUGUUCCUUGGACUCGGGUGUGGUGUCCGAUACAUAUCGAGGAAUCCGAUCAUUUUUCUCUCUCUAAAAUCUAGGAUACGAGAUUCAGCUAAAAAAAGAUCCAAAAUUUAGACACGGGCACAUGGAUUCAUCUUAUGAUGUAUAUUUAACCAUAAAUCUAUGAUAAAUUAAAUUGCAGGUUGUGAUUCUUUUUUUGAAAUUUCAUUUCAACUCUAGAAAUGUGAAAUACAAACUAGAAAUCGUUUUAAAUACAAUACCAAAUUAACAAAAAUGAUAUAAAGGACCCUCUUUUAUUUUAAGGGAUCCAAGAAGGAUAUCUUGUCGUGCAUGUCCGAUACACGUAAGAACUUCUAAAAUUCCAACAAGUACUAUUUGUAAAAAGUUAAAAGCUAAAGCAAGCAGAUAGGAUAUAAAAGACAAAUUACAGAGAGCAAUCCAUAUUGCUUGGACUCGGGUGUGGUAUCCGAUACAUAUCUAGGAGUCCAAUCAUUUUUCUCUCUCUAAAAUCUAGGAUACGAGAUACAGCUAAAAAAAAAUGAUUCAAAAUUUAGACACGAACAAUUCCUUGCGAUCAGACAGACAGGAACUGUUGCAGAGUAUAGGGAAAAGUUUGAAGUAGUGUCUGCUCCCCUUGCUCCCCUGAUGAAUGUAAGUGAGGACACACUAGAAGGAGUCUUCAUUAAUGGGCUAGAAGAAGAAGUGCAGGCAGAGGUAUUGAUGGUGAGACCGGCAGGACUUUCACAAAUCAUAGAUAUGGCACAACGAGUGGAGGAUAGGAACAAUUGGAUCAACAAGGCGAAGGAGCGAGAACGCCCACAAAUCCGGGGUGUAACUGCUCUGAUUCCAACUAGGGCUGAAAAUCGGACAAUUCCUUGGGGCUCGAGUAAGGGAACCAUUGUACAGGACAAAGGUGGAGGAAUGGGUUCGGGAAGCUCUACUGUAGGGUUCAAAAGACUAAACCAGGUUGAGAUUCAAGCAAAAAAGGACAAGGGCUUAUGUUCUCGAUGCGACGAAAAGUUUCAUGUUGGGCAUAAGUGCCGCAAUAGGAAACUACAAGUGCUGUUGGUGGACGAAGAGGAGCAAAACAGGGCAGGAGGGGAGUGUUCCGAAGAGAUGACUGAUUGUAACGAGCUGGAGGGUGUAGAGUUAUCAAUGAAUUCUGUGGUUAGGAUAAUUAAAGAAUUUUGUACUUGUUAUUCAAUUCUUUGAAAUUUAAUUUCUUCUUUGAGAAAUUAAAUGUGCUCUUUCUUGAAAUUAAUGUUGUUAAUAAUUUUUGAAACAAAUUCUUGUUUCAAAGAAUUAACAUCCUUAUAAAAUGGAGGAUUUGUGUAUUUGAAAAAUAUUUCUGACCAAAGAUGCUGGUUGUUGAACCUUUUGAGUCUACUUGAAAAGGAUAAAUUGAAACAAUGAAAGGAGUACAAAGUAUGACUUCUUAGUUUAAAUCUUUGACUAAAUAGAAGAUAUUUUUGAAACAAAUAUUGGAAUUACAAACAUGUGCCUUUGAAAGUUUGUAUUGAAAGUUGAGUUUUUCACCACUAACACCAUAAAAAAAUGCUCAGUAGCUUUUUAAAAAUAUUUUACGGGGCACCAGAAUCAGUUAAAACCAUGGAGGAGAAUUUGAAUUCUUUAUUGAUCACAAUGGUCAUAGUGCAGUACCACUUUUGAAGUUGAAUACUGCCACAUGACUUAUGCAGUGUGAUUUUACACUGCAAGUGCAGUGUAAAAUUUUAUAAUAUAGCUUUGAAAUACGAGUGUCGAACCCUCAGGGAUUGAUAUUUGAAUCUCAUCAAGUACUAUAAUUAUUUUAACUUUCACUUUAUUUAGACAAUCGAUUUUUGAAAUGAUGUUUUAUUGCUAAAUUAAAAUAAAUGGGAUGAACAAUGCAAAGUGAACAAGGGUAAUUUGUAAAGUUUCUUAUCAAAUUAUGAAUGCCUAGAUAGUGAUUUCAUCAUACUAUCGACAAUGUUUUUCAACCAUUAUAACUAUUUCUAUCAAUCGUUCCAAAAUUUAUAGGCAAUAACACUAAAUUGAUUACAUUUCCCUCUCUCGAGCGCCAAAAGGAAUCUAUUUCUAUAUUUUAAUUUCAAUAUCUCGAUUUCGAACUAAAACAUAAAAAUCAUCAAGCACGUGGUUCUUAAUUGAAAUAAGCCUUAAAGAUUUAGCAUUUUCUCUCAAAACUUGCAAAAUCUAGGUUAUGUUAUCUUAGAUCACGACUAAAUUUCUCUCUCUCGAGUGCCAAAAUUUAAAGCAUCAAAUCAUUCAAUUAGUGACCAGUUAAUUGAAAGGAUUGCGCAAGAAUCGACAUAAAUAAAUAAGCAGAAAUAUUAAAUGUUAUAAUUAUAUCGAAAUCAAAACAUGUCUACAUAGGUUACAUCAAACCCUACAAUUAAUGUUUAGUUUAUGAAGAAAGAAUUAAAUCUAAACAAAUUGAUGAUUAACAUAAAGAGGGGAAAAAAACUCUUUUGAAGCUUUUAAUUGGAGUUCCCCUUGAUGUUCUUCAUGCAUCCUUGUCCUUGAUGAAUUGUUUGUUGCAUUGUCUUCAAUCUUGCCCUUCAAUUGUUGUGUUUGGCCCCUUCAAUUCUUCUCAAAAAUAGGGUUUUUUGAAUGGCAUUUAUAGUAUGUUAGGGUCUUGGACGAAUUAGGGUUGAAAUGGGCCAAGAAAAAAGUCAAAAAAUAUUUAAAAAAAAAGAAGCAUUUUCCCGCAUAUCCAGCACCUCAGAACCCAAGAUAGGUGCCGAGGUACCGGGCUUGCUAUUAUUUUCAAUGAGUUGGGCACUGCAGUGCCCAAAUUGAGGCGUCCGAUUGGGUUGAAAACGACAGAUUGCGCGUAUUUAAGUACUUAUAGCAUAACUUUCUUCUACAAUAUUCGAUUAAGGUGAUUCAAGAUGCGUUAGAAAGCUAACUCCAAGGGCUACAGCUUUACUUCAGACAUUGUUCUCCAAUUCGAUUGUUUACUAUGUCAAAAAUCGGUCUCAAUGUGAGGCUGAAAUUUAAGAGCAUAACUUUUCGAUUGAAAAUUGAUUUGUGGCCAUAUUUUGCCUUAAUUUGAUCCCUUUGACAUCUUUCUUCAUCCAAUUGACUCCUAAUACUCUCUGAUCUUUAUCGUGAGGUUCGACACAACUUUUAAAUAUUUACACUUUAGUCCCCAAACUUUGGAUCUCUUACAAUUUAGCAUUUUCUCCAACUUAGCCAACUUUUGCUUAUUUCAUUUAAUUUCAUCAACCUAUAUCACAACAUCAAAACACACAUUAUAACGUUCUAAAACACUCUCAAUGGCAACAAAAUAAUGAAUUAAGUGGUACGAAUAUAAUGAGUAUGGAGCACUCAUCAAAUACGAUUGAUAACCUUAAUUUUUUUCUUAUUCUAUAUGAGAGGCUUCAGGAGAGGUGUGAAAAGUUUCUUCUUCUAAAGAAUCAUUAUUGGAAUGUCUUCUUGUUUUAUAUUUUUAGGGGGUGUUUGAUAGCUAUUUUUAUGUAAAAAUGCAUUUUAGAAUAGUAAAUUGAUGUGAAAUGUAUGGUUGAGAAAUAAGGAAAAGUUUUUUAUUUACGUGUAAUAUUAUUUUAUUAAAGAAUGUGUAGUUGAAAAGAAGAGAGAGAAAAAUGCAUUUUGAAAAAAAUGGCUACCAAAACGGGGCCUUAGUUUUCGGAGAAUAACUUUUAUACGGACAUCUUUCAUUUGACGUUCAAGAACAACAAUUUGAGAUUUCCUCGCCUUAAUUUCUAAUUUUAAUUCAGAACUAGAAGAUUUUGAAGAUGUGGAUUCAGUAUUGAGCAUAUUUAAUAUACCCUUUAUAUUAAAUGGUGUUGCCGACAUUUUGGAAGUAGAAGGUAGAAGAAGAGAGAAUUUCUUCUUUAAUUGAGGAUCUUCUAUUUUCUCAAUUAUUUCUUGAAUAAGUUCUUCUUCUUUGGUAAGGAUAUUUAUGGUUUUACAACCACUAACUUCCUUAGCUUGACUUGAAGUAGAAAAAGGGGAACUUGAGCUGGUCUCAACGCCACAGUCUUCCUGAUGCAUGUAAACUUGCUUGAGUUCAAAAUUAGAAUCUUCACCUAAACUAGAAUUGAGUAGAUUAAGAAGUUCAAAUUUAAUAUCUUCUUCUAUUUGAAGAUUAUUAAUCUUUCCCUUCAUAGGACAUUUAUUUGAUCAACAACUAUUUGUUUGCACUUCCAACAGGUAAUGUUUGAAGUUUUAGGAAUUAUUUUCCUUGAAAAAUUUCUUUUUGAAUAUUUGGGAGGAUAAGAUUGAGAAAUAUUUUGUAUUUGAAAAGAUCAUUUUCUUAAAAAGUAAGGAAAACUUUUCUUUUACAAUCUUGAAGAAGGGGGAACAUUUUUUCCAAACCAUAUUGAUCAUCGGAUGAUCCAAGUUCUUUUUGACUCUCAGUUCUUUCUGACUUUAACUUUGCCUUGAGUUUGAGAUCUCGCCAUAAGCAAGGAAAGAACAAGGAAUAGGAUCAUUAUGGUGAAGUCUGAUGGAAUUAUGCACUCUUUCAACAAAAUGUUUAGGAAGUCCAGAAAUAAUCUUUCUUUCCAAAAAGAUUGAUUACAAUCUUCAUGAAAUAAAACUCUAGUAGGAAACAUAUCCUUAUACCAUUGAAAAUCAUCAAGUUUAGGAUAAGUGAGAUUUAAGAAAUGUCCUAUCUUGAAGGAGAUCUUGAGUUCCAAUAAAAUGUUUGAGAACGGAAAAGACAAGUCUAUUGAAACUAUCAUUACGAAGUUGUUCAUUGGAAGCUUUAGUAAUAGUGUCGCGAUCUUCGACAAUAAGAUAGUUAUUCCAUGGCUUUUAAGCUCACAAACUAAAUUAUUGAAGGUAGUAAUAGGAGAUAUAUUUCGACAUAUAUAAGCUGUGUAACACACGGCCAUAUGUUAAAGCAAUUGUAAUAUUUGAUAUUCUGUCCAUCCGUCAAGAUUUCAUUAGACGAUCUCACCAUCCGAUAGGAAACUUUUGAUUAUUUCUUUUCCUCUUAUGACAUAUCAGAAUAUGAAGAACGAGAAUAAAAAUUUGGAAGUUUCGAUUUUGGCCUUUCAAUUUAUUGAAAUGAGAUGGUUUAUUUUCAAUAAAUUGCGCUUCAAGUUCUUCUAAAAUAUCAACGGUAUUGAUUUUGUUAUAUGUUUCUAAUUUGGAUAUUUGGUUAGCGAGUUCUUAUAAAAAAUUUAUGUAGGCAAAGAGUCUUUUCUUUAGUUUAGGAGUUAAUUUUGAAUUAAUGGAUUUAAAAUUGUAUUAAGAGGUAUUUUCUCAUUUUUCUUGGAUGAGGAGGCUUCGGAAUCAGAAUUGGCUUUAAUCCUAGAUAAUUUAGAACACAAUGACUGGAGAACAAUAUUUGUAUAAUUGUUCUGUGUUAAAUAUUUUUUAUAUUUCUGGUUUAGUGCUAGAUUCUUGGGGUCUAUCAGUAGGAACUUGCUUGAUAUGUGAUGCAAUAAUAUCAGUGUUUCCAUAAGAAACAACUAUUUCUUGCAUUGACGGAUCUUCAGAUUGAAAAUUUUGUCCAGAAGGAGUUUUUCAAGUUUUUUUUUUUUUUUUUUUUUAUUAACAUGAGUAUUUUGAAAUAGAUGUAGUUUUAGCAAUCUUCUUGCCAGAAACUUUAAAGUGUGCUCAAUCAUAAAACUUAAAUCUUUAGGAGAAUUAUAAAAUUCUUACCAUAAAAAUUUGAUCUCAAUUUAACAUUUGUUUAAGAGAAAAUUUUGACAGAAGGAGUUUUAUCAAUUUUGAACUCAGUUUUUCUAUUAAUUAUAGAAGUAAUUACAUUACACUGUCUAUCCAAUCGUUCAUAUGGACUAGAUAGCAUAUCUGACAACUCAAGCAAAUCAAGCUGUUCUAAUUUGAUAUCCCUAUUAGUUAUAUAUUGAGUUUUUGGAAUAGUCAUUGUAAAAUCGACUACUUUUCAUUUAUCAAAAGAAAUUGAAAUUCUUGAUGAUUGAAAAGGAUUUUUAGAUCUUGUCUCAGAUCUAGAAGAGUAGGACCUUGGAAGAUUAUUUGAUGAUGAUUUUUCAUUAAAAAUCAUCUGGACUUGUGUAUUUGGGAAGGAAAAAAUUUGAUUAAGAACUGUUCAAACAGGUGUAAGAAUUGGGUUUUGAGCAUUUUCAAAAUCUCAUUCAAGUCCUCUAGAUUAAGAUUUCAAGGUAUUCUUUUUUUUGGAAUUAUGGUACUAGAAUGAAGAGAAUCAUCGUCCAUCAGAAGACUUUCAUCUAUAAGAGAUGAGCGAAGAGCUCAAAUAUUGAGUUGAGUGUUCAUAAAUUUUUAAUAUACACGAUAUAUUAUAGCAAAUGCUUUGGAAAGAUCGUCAUAAUUAAGAUUUUUUGUUUGAAUUUGAAUAGAUGCUCAGAUUUUUAACUAGCUGCCUGAUAAGGAAAAACGUGAAAAAAUAUAUGAGUUGAUAGCUCAGUGAGUGAAGAAAUUCAAAAUAAAUAUACUUUUUCAUUUAUAUAUUUUUAUUGAAAAUCAAAUCCAUAUCAUUUGAUAAUUCACAAGCUACCAUCAUGUAAUCAUAGUCAAAAAGUAAAAUAUUCACAUAAGGUCAUAAAAAUAUCAUCUUAAAAUCACGAUAUAAUAUCAGCUGAUAACCAUGUUAUAAUCUUAUCAUAUCAAACGUGCUGAAAAAUUCACCAAAAAUGUACCCUCUGACUGAAAUAUAUAAUCCGCCCCUCGGGUUAAGAACUUUCGCCAUCCCUCCGUGAACGAAAGUCGGUCUCCAAGCCUCUCAUAAUCAAUUCUAGAACACGGUCAAGGUCGCUCUGUGAACUAUAUGUACACGAUCAAGACCAAUGUCGGGUCAAGACCCUCCGUGUAGGAUAGAACACGGCCAAGGCCCUUUUGUGAACUAGAAUAAGUAUAUAAUCAUGGGUACUUUUCUGGCCGAUCUCAAUAUUGCAUGUCUCACACACCAACCAAAUCUCAAUAUCACAUGUCUUACAUAGCAAGUCACAAAUAUGUCAUAAAUAAUCUUUGAUAUUCCACAUGUAUCAUAAUAAAAGAAAUUUCCAUAAUAACCAUAUAAUUCGAACACAUAAUUGCACAUACUUUGACAUACUUAAUUUAUAAAUAUUUUAAAAAUAUUUAUCUUUUUUCUCUCACAGAACUAUGUAUGCCAAAAUCAAUUCAAUUGGUACGCUGUUCCGAUAUCCGUAUCGCCGCAUGAAAUAUAAUAUAAUUUUUAAAUCAACAAUUAACUAAUUUAAGUAAUUUCAAUAAUCAAAUAGGCGAUACCUAAACAUAAUUAUUUCAUGUUUAGGGGAUUUCUUAAGUCUCUUUAAUUACUAAAAUUAAUUUUUCUUUCAUUUUACUCAAUUUCAUAGUUUAUUACACUUAACCACUUCAAUAAAAUUAAAUUUAACCUAACAAUCUAACAACUACAAAAUCAAACAUAACUUAACAAUAAGUAACUUUUUACUUACCCUUCAAAAUUGAGAAAUUUAAGCCUAAUAGGAUAGAGCACUUAAUUCCUAACACAUUGGCGAAAUUUUCUUUUUUUUCCUUCUUUUUCUUCCUCUUUUUCUUUUUUUUUCUUUUCCUCUUUUUCCUUUCUCUUUUUCUUCUCUGGUACCUUUUUUUUUUUUUUUCUGUUUUGGUGUGUGUAAAGUGUGAUAUGCGUGUCUUAUUAAAGAUUGGAUUACAUAUAUAUCUAAUACAUUGGAAAUGGGUUGGUUUGCCGCCUGCCAUUUUUGUCUUUUUCUUUUUAAUUUUUUUGUUUGACUUUUUUUUUUGUUUAAUGUUUUACAAAACUCACCCCCUUAAAAGAAUUUCGUCCUCAAAAUUCAAUUGACUAAGCGUGGAAAAUCUGGGGAUACUGAGAACGCAUCUGCUCUUCACUUUCCCAUGUCGCUUCUUCUAUAGCAUGAUUCCUCCACAAGACUUUAACCAAAGGAAUGGUCUUACUACGCAAAGCAUGUUCCUUCCUAUCCAAUAUCUGAACUGAUUUUUCUUCAUAGGUAAGUUUUUCUUUAGCUAUUUUUCUUCAGCUCUACUGGUUGUGAUUCCAAAACAUGAGAUGGAUCUGGAAUAUACUUACGAAGCAUAGAAACAUGGAAUACAUCAUGAAUUUUAGACAAUUCUGUUGGCAAAGCCAAUCGAUACGCAACUGGACUGAUGCGUUCAACAAUCUCAUAUGGGCCAAUAUUCUUCGGACUCAAUUUACCUUGUUUAACAAAUCUGAUAACAUCUUUCCAUGGAGACAAUCGCAGGAAAACUCUAUCUCCAACAUCAAAUUCAAGGUUUCUUCUGCGUCUAUCUGCAUAGUUCUUCUGUGUAUUUUGCGCUGUUUUUAACUUUUCUUUAAUUAUCUUUACUUUCUCGGCAGUAAUCUGGACAUAUUCAGUACCCAAUAACUUUCUUUCACCAACUUCAUCCCGACAUAUUGGAGUUUUGCAUUUUCUACCAUACAGUGUUUCAAAAGGAGCCAUUUCUAUACUCGAAUGAUAACUGUUUUUAUAGGCAACCUCCAUCAAAGAAAGAUGAGUAUCCCAAUUCCCUUUGAACUGUAGUACAAAAGCUCGUAACAUGUCUUCUAGAGUCUGAAUAGUUCUUUCUGACUGACCAUCUGUUUGUGGAUGAAAAGCUGUACUGAAAUGAAGUUUAGUACCCAUAGCUUUCUGCAAACUGGGCCAAAAUUUAGAAGUGAAACGAGAAUCUCUAUCUGAAACAAUAGAUACUGGUGCCCCAUAUAAACUAAUUAUCUCGUCAACAUAUAUUUUUGCCAAUUUAUCUAAUAAGUAAGUGACUUUAAUAGGCAAAAAUUUAGCAGUCUUUGUCAAUUUGUCUACAAUGAUCCAUAUGCCAUCAUGUCCACUCUGAGUUCGUGGAAGUCCAAAUAGAAAAUUCAUAGUAAUGUGUUCCCAUUUCCACUCAGGAAUAGGCAACAUUUGGAAAAAUUUUGCUGUUACAUCUGGACACAAACUUAGCUAUUUCUCUCUUCAUUCUAUGCCACCAAUAGUAUUUUUUAAAUACACGAUACAUUUUUGUACUACCUAGAUGCAUCACGUAAGCUGAACUAUGUGCCUCUUCUAGAAUUUCUCCCUUUAAUUUCGAAUUAUCUGGAACACAUAAUCUGUUUCCCAUAACUAAAGCUCCAUCAUCUCGAAUGGUAUAAUCUGUAUGCUUACCUUUACUAGCUUCUUCUUUCAAUUUACUCAACACUGGAUCUUGAGUUUGAGUUUCUUUAACUAUGUCAAUCCAAGUAGGCCUCACUUGAAAGUUGGCAAACAAUGCUUCUACACUGGUAACUGAUAAUUGAGCAUGAGAACCUCUGAACUCACUAAACAAAGAUGAACAUACUGCAUUAGUUUGAGUCAUAGGACUCGAUAUUUUUCGACUGAGAGCAUCCGCAACUACAUUAGCCUUCCCUGGAUGAUAAUCAAUCUUGCAGUCGUAAUCUUUUAUCAGCUUUAACCAUCUUCUUUGCCUCAAGUUUAACUCUUUUUUUAUUGAAAAUAUACUUUAAGCUUUUAUGAUCUGUAUAUAUUUGGCAUCUCUCACCAUACGAGUAAUGUCUCCAAAUUCUCAAGGCUAGAACAACUGCAGCUAGCUCUAAGUCAUGUAUAGGAUAACUCAGUUCAUGUUUCUUCAACUGCCUGGAAGCAUACGCUAUAACUUUCCCAUUCUGCAUCAAAAGACAACCAAGACCCUGACGUGAAGCAUUACUAUAUAUCACAAACUCUUCACCAGGAGAUGGAAGGGUAGGAACUGGAGCUGACACUAAUCUAUUCUUCAAUUCGAGGAAACUUCUCUCGCAAUUUUCAUUCCAAACAAAUUUAGCAUUUUUUCUAGUCAAAUUGGUCAAAGGCAGAGCAAUCUUAGAAAAUCCUUCUACAAAACGACGAUAAUAACCUACCUAUUAAGCCAAGAAAACUUCGGAUUUCUGUCACAUUAGUAGGCCUUUCCCAUUUUACCACUGCCUCUGUUUUCUGCGGGUCAACAUAAAUUCCUUCUUCUGAUAUGACAUGUCCCAAAAAUACAACUUUAUCAAGCCAAAAUUCACAUUUACUGAAUUUAGCAUACAACUGCUCAUCACGUAGAGUCUGCAAGAUGAUUCUGAGAUGUUCUGUGUGCUCAUCAUGAUCUCGAGAGUAUACUAAAAUAUCAUCAAUGAAUACAAUCACAAAUCUGUCUAAAUAUGGGCGAAACACUCUAUUCAUCAUAUCUAUAAAUGAUGCUGGUGCGUUGGUCAACCCAAAUAGCAUCACAAGAAAUUCAAAAUGACCAUAUCUUGUCCUGAAAGCAAUUUUUGGCACAUCACUAUCCUUGAUUUUAAGUUGAUGAUAUCUAGAACGCAAAUCAAUCUUUGAAAAUACUGCAACACUUCGAAACUGAUCGAACAGAUCAUCAAUACGUGGCAAAGGAUAUUUAUUGCGAAUUGUCACCUUGUUCAAUUGUCUGUAAUCUGUGCACAGUUGCAUGGUACCAUCCUUCUUUUUCACAAAAAAAACUGGUGCUCCCCACAGAGAUAAACUAGGCCUGAUGAAACCCUUAUCUACCAAUUCUUGCAACUGAACAUUUAGCUCUUUCAAUUCUGCUGGUACAAUUCUAUAGGGUGCCCGUGAAAUAGGUACAGUUCCUGGAAUCAGAUCUAUAGUGAACUCCAUAUCUUUGUCUGAUGGUAAUCCUGGUAAUUCUUCUGGAAAUACGUCAGGAAAGUCCUUGACCACUGGAAUAUCUUCAAGUUUUAGUUUGCUAACAUCUGUAUCAAUUACAUGAGCCAAAUAUGCAUGACAGCCCUUGUUAAGUAAUCUUCUAGCGUCAAUAGCAGAUAUCACACAAGACGGUAAAAUUAUAUGCUGUCCAUUGAAUAUAAUUUCAGGCUGUCCUAGCUGUCUAAACACAACCUCCUUUUGAAAACAAUCAACUGAAACUCGAUUUGUUGCCAAAAAGUCUAUACCCAAGAUAACAUCGUAAUCGUGUAUGUCAAGAGGUAUUAAAUUUGCCUUCAGCUCGUUCUUCUUUACCUUAAUCCCACAAUCUCAAUAUAUAUUGUUUGCUAAUAGUGAUUUUCCUAUUGGUGUAUUCACUACCAGACAACUGCCUAAAAGUUUUGGCUUUUGAUUCACAUAUAAAGCAAAUACAAAUGACAUAAAAGAAUGUGUAGAUCCAGGAUCAAUCAAAAUACAAGCAUUUCUAUCAAAAAUAGACAACAUACCCAUGAUAACAUCUGGUGACUCCUUUGCCGCCUGCUGAGUCAUAGCAAAAAAUUUGCCCUGGGUCUUUGGUCGUCCUACCUGUCCUUUUGAUUUUGUACCACUACCGCUUGCAAUAUUAGAGUGGGCCACACUAUUUGUACCUGCUCUAUUAGCUGAAUCAUCUCUCUGAGUCUGAUUCUGUCUUGUACUACCAGUACUCUGCUAAGGAAACAUCCUUUGUGCCAUGCUACCCUCCUGAAAUAAAAUUGGGCAAUUCCUUUUCAGAUGUCCUUCUUGGCCACAGCGAUAGUAAACACCAAUUCCCUUGAACUUUAAACACUCUCCAGGAUGAGAUCUUCCACAUAAUUGGCAAGAAGAAAAUCUGGCACUAGUAGAAUCCUCUCCCUGUUUCAGAGUAAAUGAUCUUUGGAAAGAACCCUGAGUGUAAUUAUGACUAGCCAAUGGCUGCUGUACAGUAGUGGGACUGAAUCUAGGACCCUGACUUCCUCGAAGUCAAGAUUUGAAUUGACCUGAACUGGACACACCAGGUCGAAAUCCUCUACUGUCCCUCCGUGGUGGUCAUAGCUAGAAGCACUUGCCAUUGUCUAACUACCGCUUGCUCUGAACAUUGUUUGUUCUCUACCACUUGGCCUAUCAGAAAUGCUCUUUUCUACCCUCAAAGCUGAUUACACUAAUUUGCCAAAUUCAUUCCAGCCUGCAGCUGUUACAACUGACCUGAUUUCUUCCCUUAACCCAUUUUCAAACCGUCUACAUUUAUCAAUUUCGUUGCAUACCAAAACUUGGGCAUAUUUUGAAAGUUCAAUAAAUUUCACCUGAUAUUCUGCAAUAGUCAUCUGGCAUUGUAUUAGUUUCAGAAAUUACUCCUGCUUUGCAUCUUUAUAGGACCGAGGAUAAUAGGCAUCGUAAAAGAUAAGACGAAAAACUGUCCAAGUAAUGAUUGAAGGGUCUAGAUAUGUGCUCCGUACUGACUGCCACCAAUAAUACACACCCUUCUCUAAUAAAAAGGUGGCAAGACACAACUUCCGAUCGUCUAAGCAGCCCAUAACGUCAAAUACCGUCUCUAUCUUUAUCAUCCAUGCCUGCACAACUGCAGGAUCUGCUGUGCCAAUGAACACUUUAGCCCCUAACUUUGUAGCCCUUUCAAUACUAAAAUCUCUGUCAGUAUUACGCAUAGCAGAUGCAACUGCAGUAGUAAUUCUUUCAACAACAAUAUGAUCGGUUUCAAUCACAUUUUCUUGUCCAUGUUGUUCAGGAGUCUGGUGAACUGAUUCAUCUACUCUCUCGGGCUCUCUCAGUUCAUCUCUAUCAGGAGCAAUGUGAGACUGGGGCAAUAUAUCUUGGAACCUUCGAGUUUUGCCACCACGAGGCAUGAUUCACCUACAGUUAUGCAUGAUAUGCUAAAUAUGAGAAUGUAUGCAUGUACAGUGCAAACCCAUGAACUCUAAUGCAUGCUCUGAUACCAAACUGACACACCCCGCCCCGUGUAACACUACUAGAUUCGGACGUGGGAUGCGCCGAUGAUAGAUAUCAACUAAAAGUCAGACCCACCAUCAAGACUACUACAAAUACAAUAUAUUACUUUUUAUACAUCAUUUUUCUAACAAAAUUUCGGCAUUAUCUCCCCUGUAAACAGGACUAAUCAACAUGUGAUCAAUUUCACAUAAAUCCAAAACUAUAGCACAGCACAAUAAAAAUAAGUCGAAAUCUCCACUUUUACCAAGAAAUACAAUGAAAUAUACCUAUGGAUACAUAAUACAUAGUGAGCCCCAUAACUAUCUACAAGUGAUGCAAAAUCACAUCUAAACAUGAACAUGCGUCCCAAAAUACUGACUACAUGUUCUAUGAAGUGAGUCAUACUAACAAACUCUAUGGUGUGGCUCUGAUUCCAAAAUCAAGACUCAACUCCAAAAGAUACCCAGAUUUUCAACUACUGUCUGAUAAGGAAAAACGUGAAAAAAUAUAUGAGUUGAUAGCUCAGUGAGUGGAGAAAUUCAAAAUAAAUAUACUUUUUCAUUUAUACAUUUUUAUUGAAAAUCAAAUCCAUAUCAUUUGAUAAUUCACAAGCUACCAUCAUGUAAUCAUAGUCAAAAAGUAAAAUAUUCACAUAAGGUCAUAAAAAUAUCAUUUUAAAAUCAUGAUAUAAUAUCAGCUGAUAACCAUGCUAUAAUCUUAUCACAUCAAACGUGCUGAAAAAUUCACAAAAAAUGUACCCUCUGACUAAAAUAUAUAAUCCGCCCUUCGGGCUAAGAACUUUCGCCACCGGCCUUUGGCCCCCUCCAUGAACGAAAGUCGGUCUUAACGACCUCUUAUAAUCAAUUCUAGAACACGGUCAAGGCCCCUCUGUAAACUAUAUGUACACGAUCAAGAUCAAUGUCGGGUCAAGACCCUCCGUGUAGGAUAGAAUACGGCCAAGGCCCUUCUGUGAACUAGAAGAAGUAUAUAAUCAUGGGUACUUUUCUGGCCGAUCUCAAUAUUGCAUGUCUCACACACCAACCAAAUCUCAAUAUCACAUGUCUUACAUAGCAAGUCACAAAUAUGUCACAAAUAAUCUUUGAUAUUCCACAUGUAUCAUAAUAAAAGAGAUUUCCAUAAUAGCCAUAUAAUUCGAACACAUAAUUGCACAUACUUUGACAAUAUACUUAAUUUAUAAAUAUUUUAAAAAUAUUUAUAUUUUUCACUCACAGAACUAUGUACGCCAAAAUCAAUUCGAUUGGUACGCUGUCCCGAUAUCCGUAUCGCUGCCUGAAAUAUAAUAUAAUUUUUAAAUCAACAAUUAACUAAUUUAAGUAAUUUCAAUAAUUAAAUAGGCGAUAUCCAAACAUAAUUAUUUCACGUUUAGGUGAUUUCUAAAAUCUCUUUAAUUACUAAUUAUUCUUUCAUUUUACUCAAUUUCAUAGUUUAUUACACUUAACCCCUUCAAUAAAAUUAAAUUUAACCUAACAAUCUAACAACUACAAAAUCAAACAUAAUUUAACAAUAAGUAACUUUUUACUUACCUUUCAAAAUUGAGAAAUUCAAGCCUAAUAGGAUAGAGCACUUAAUUCUUAACACAUUGGCGAAUUUUUCCUUUUUUUUCUUUGCCUCUUUUUCCUUUCUCUUUUUCUUCUCUGGUACUUUUUUUGUUUUUUUGUUUUGGUGUGUGUAAAGUGUGAUAUGUGUGUGUUAUUAAAGAUUGGAUUACAUUUCUAAUACAUUGGAAAUGGGUUGGUUUGCCGCCUGCGUUUUUGUCUUUUUCUUUUUAAUUUUUUUUUUGUUUAAUGUUUUACAAAGACGUUGCGGAAGAAUAUGCUGUGAAACCGUUGGUUGUAAACAUGAUUCUAAAACUUCCACGGGAAAAGAAUGGGUUAGAUUGUUUUCUAAAGAUAUGUUUUUUGUUUCAUUUGAUGUCUAGCUUUUUAAUUAUCUUAAUUCUUUUUUCCCCUUUCAGUGGAGAUUGUGGAAUUUAUAUAAUUAGAUAAGCACAAUAUUUCAUCAACAAAAGUUAAACGAACCGUGAAAGCCAUUUAACAUUCUACAAAUUAGACAAAACUUUGCUGCUCAAUUGUUUAUACCAAGAAGAAGCAAGAUAAGAAUUAUAACAGAGACAAUGAAUGGGCGUCAAAGGGAAGAGAUUCGUGAUAUAUUGAUGAGGUAGAGAUAAAGAUGUAUUUGAAGAGGCAACGAUAGAUUAAUGUACAGGACUGACAAGCAAAUAAUGAUGAUGUUUAAAUUAUGACAUUUUGCAUUUUUAGUUGUUAGGUUAUUGAUGAGAUUUUGGCUGCAUUCAAUAUGUUGAUAGUUGAUGUUAAAUGAUUGUACAUAACUUGGUUGUAUUAAGUUGGUUGGAAUUUGAUCUUUUUGGUACAAAAUGAAUGCUUUACUACAAUUUUUAUCCAGGAAAACUGGUGUAGAUAAAUAUCAGGUUUUUAUCUUGGACUUUAAUUUUAUUUUAUUUUUUUAAUUUUGUCAAUUUUUCGAGUGUUUGUAACUUUUUUGAAUUUUUUUCCUUUUUUUAGUGUUUAUCACUUUUUUUUUAAUUUCUAUCACUUUUUUAAUGUUUAUCACUUCUGUUUAAAUUUUUGUCAUUUUCUUGAAAUUUCUAUUAAUUUUUGAGUAACAAAAAUCAAUUUCUUAAUAAAAGUGACAUUAUGUAUAAAAAAAAGUAACAUGUAAAACUUUCUUUUAGUGAUAUUGUUUCACUUAAUUUCACAUUUUAUUUUUACUUCUUUUUUUAUUUUUAAUUUUUUUGUCAGUUUCUUAAAAUUUCUGUCACUUUUUAAUAAAAGUGAUUUGGAAAAAAAGUAACGCUUAAAACUUUUUUUAAAAGUGAUAUUGUGUCACUUAAUUUUACAUAUUAUUUUUAUAUUUUUGUCACCUUCUUGAAAUUUUUGUCACUUUUUAAUAAAAGUGAUAUCGUAUGUGACUUUUUCAUAAAAUAGUGAUACUUAACUUAAAAAAAUGAAACUGUGUAUAUAAAAGUUACAUUGUGUCACUUUUAAAAUAUUUUACAAAGUAUUUCUUACUUCCAAAUUACUUUUCAUAUGAUUUUUCAAAAGACAUCUAAUUUUGUGGGAAUUUUUGUGAGCUGCCCUAUUUUUUUCUUUUUGUCAAUGGGAAAUAAGCUUCAAUAAGUGGUUACAAUUCGGGGUGUAAUUUUAGUCGUUUUGUCUCCAAUGUCUUCUUAUAGUAAGUGGAUAACGUAACCACAUCAUGCACUAACAUAGAUUAAAACUUGUAAAUAUUAGUUCCGUUCAAUAAAAUGUUUUGUAUAUUAUAAGCUUUGAACAAAACUACAGAUAAAAAUGAUCAGCUUAUGAGUAUUGUUUAUUAUAAUUUCUAUGAUUUUCAUUUAUUAUAUCAUGAAUUAAACAAUUUAUCUAGGGGAUUGAUGUAGCCGAAUCAAGAUUAUGGUUUGAUGAUUUUAUAAUUAUUUCUUUGAUUUUUAAUGCUUUCAAUUGCCUGAUCAACAAUUGGAUGAUUUGAUGCUAGUCAAUUUCGGGGCUCGAGAGGGUGGGAAUUUAGGCGUGAUCAUAAGAGUGAUGCAACAUAGAAUUUAUAGGUUUCGAGAGAAAGUAUAAAUCUGUGAAGCUAUCUCCAUAAAAGAAUCGGAUCUUUAUUAAAUUCUUGAUUUUCAAUUUUGAACAGAGAUGUUAGAAUUGGGAUCUAGGGUUAAUUUCUAAUCGGUGCUCGAGAGAGGGGGUUAGAAAUACAUUAGGAUUCUUGCUUUUAAAUAUGGGAAAAUUAAUUGGAAUAAUUUGAAUUCGUUGAAUCAUAAUUGAAAGUUAGGUGAAAUCAAUCCCUAGGCCUUCUCAUUUGAUAAUUUGUAUUCCCCAAUUUUGUCACAUCCAAUCACGUUAGUUUAGUUUAAAUCGUUCAUUCAUAAAACAUCAAUUCAAUCAUACAUUCAUCUAAAUAAAGUAGAAAUUGCAUAAUUAUAGUACUUAGUGAAAAUUAAAUACAAUCCCUGUGGGUUCGACACUCUUACUUCAAUACUAUAUUACAAAACUUGACACCGUAUACUUGUGGUUAAACCACGUUGUAUAAAACGUGUGGCAAGUAUGAAAGAGCUUUACCAAACAUUCACGAAAAGUGGAUACCUAGGGUUUUUACUGGAGAUUCUGCAUAUAUAUUAAAUUUUUUAAAUAUAUUUUCAACAUAAUGGAAUGGGAAAGUACAAUUUCAUUAUAUUUUUUAGAGAUCUUAAUCCCUAAUAUUGCAUUUGUUACCGCCACAUCUUUCCUAUCAAAAUGUAUUGUUAACAUUUUAUUAGUGUUCAUGAUGAUAUCAUGACUUUUGUCCAUAAUUAACAUAUAAUUCACAUAUAGAUAUAGAAUUAUAUAGGCUUUGUAUACAUGUUUUAUGUACACACAUUUGUCACUCUAUUAAUUUUAAAAUUAUUUGACAACAUUGUUUUGUCAAACAUUUGGUGUCAUUAUUUUGGAGUUGCUUCAAAUCAUAUAGGGAUUUAACAAGUUUGCACACUUUUCAUUCUUGGUUAGGAGCAAUAAGCCCUUCAGGUUGCUCUAGGUAUAUUUUUUCUUCCGAUUCACCAUUCAAAAUAUUGCUUUCAUGACCAUUUGAUGAAUUUCAAGGUUAUGUAAUGAUCAAUUGUAAUCAACACCCUCAUCAAAGUGAUUUUAGUCAUAGCUGUGUAAGUAUUAAAGAAGUCAAGUCCUUUUUGCCUAUAGCCUUUUGCAACCAACUUAGUCUUAUAUUUAUCAACGGAUCCAUCCUUUUUUUUCUUGAAAAUCCAUUUAUACGCUUGAGGCUUAUUUCCCAGUGGUAAAUCAAUCAACUCCCAAGGAUGAUUUUGCAUUAUAAAUUCUAUCUUUCCUGUUUUCAAUGGAGUGUUCCCCGUGUAGACAUUGCUUGACUAAAUGUCUUACGAUCACUUUCUACCAUAUAGGUUUGAAAAUUCUGAACCAUAUGAAGUUGAUGUUCUAGCUCUCUUGUUUUACUGUGCUUUUAUUCUUCAUCAUUCAUAGUACUGUUUGCAGUUUCGUAAGUUCUCUUAUAUGAACUUAAAUCUUCUUUACCUUUGCAUGGAGUGAUAUUUUCGAAAAAUAAGCAUUUCUUGAUUCAAUUAUGGUGUCUUCAUGUAUGUCUUGUAUAUCAAACUUAUGAACAAUAAAUCGAUAUGCACCACUAUUAUUGGUAUAUCCAAUAAAUAUGCAAUCAAUUGUCUUAACCAUGAUUUUAAUUUGUUUCGGCUUUAGUAAUUCAACCUUAGCCAAAUAUCUCCACACUUUCGAGUUUAAGAAGGUUAAUGAUAUUUCAUAAUUCAUAUGGAAUUUUAUCAAUUUAUUUUAGAGAUAUUUUAUUAAGGAUGUGAGUUACUAAAAGUAUAGCCGUUAACAAAAUAACUAAAGCAUGAAAGCAGAAUUUAAAUUUUUAUUUAUAAUGCUUUGUUUCGAUACAAUAGUAAGAAUGUUCAUUUUGAACAUUACAUCACAUAAGUAUCAUUUUCAAAAUAUAUAACUUAUUUUUAGUGAGUACAAAUUUAUCGGAUACAAAUACUAAUUUUAAAUCAUUUUUGCUUAGUAGAGACCUAGAUGCAAGGUUCCUACGAAUGUUCAACACAUAUAUGAUAUUGUUGAGAAAUGAGAAUGAGUUCUUUAUUGGAAGUCAUCUUCAAUGUCACCUUCCCUUGUAUUGAAACUUGCAGAACUCUCCAUAAAGAGUUGUUCUCCAUGGAGUUCUUUAUGGUUGGAGAGUAAUACGUUGUUAGCAUAAAUGUGGCAAGUAGCACCAGAUUCAACCCAUCGUGCUCUUAGUUUCCAACAUUGUUAUAUUUAAAAACAACCGCUGACAAGUUCAUUUCUUGCAUCCCGUUAGGUUGUGUUCUUUUUUAUUUUUUUAUUUAUUUUUUAUUUUAAUCAUAUUUGCUAAUGCAUUUUUCUUAGGCUUGCGACAUCCAUUUAAACGAUACCCAAGCUUUCUCACAGUUAUAGCAAUUGCCUUUGAAUUUCUUAACAAUCUUGGUUUCCUUUUGGUGCGUCAUCCAAGAAUUUUCCAUUUUUGUUGAUCUUUGAAUCAGAUUCCACCAAGUUGGCUUUGACUUGCUCAAAUUGAAAAACAGACAUUCUCUCAAUCUUUGUGGUCUUUUUCUAUCCUUAGUCAAACAACAAGUUUUUCUAAGGUCAUCUCUUUACACUUAUGUUUGAGAUAUUUUUUGAAAUCUCUCAAUCUCAAUGAUUGCAGCAACUUGGAAUGACUCACUCAACGUCAUUUUCUCCACAUGAAUGUCAUGGAGAAGAGAAUUACAGUUAUUGCGCUUUACUGAUGAUUGUCUUGAAGUCUAUCAUCUUGUAAUUAAGGAACUUUUCGAUGAUGAAUUUUUUCAUGUGAUGUUCUCCAUUUUAUAUCUUUUCUCCAAAAAAAUCCCAAAGUUCUUUAGUAGAUUUCAGUAAUGAAUAUACUCUUCUAUCUAACGCCAAAAUUGACAAAUAAUUUGAGUAACUAUUCACAUGUUGGGAUACUGCAAUCUUGUUAAUUAAGGUUGUAAAUACGAUAUUCCAUACUUAUUUUGAAUUGAACUAUUUGUACCUUAAAAAUGUACAUCCUUGAAAUCAAAAUCAUUGAUUGCUUUAAGUAUUGUUAAAAUUAAUGAUAAAAACAUGUCUUAUAUCACACAAUGUCAACAAACCUAUCAAGGAAACUGUAAAUUUAGCUAAACUAACUUAUUUCACUAUAGAAAUAAAUGGAAUAGAGAAUCGAUUUCCAUUGCUUAAAAUCUUAAAUACAUUUAACUUUUCCUAUUUCCCAUAUAUCUUAAAAGAGAGAAUCCCAUGCUACUCUUCAUUUGUGUUUUUUCUUCAUGGUUCAUUGUUCAAUUAUAAAAUGUGGUAUGAAAACUUCUACCCUUUAAUUUAUUGUUCAUCUGAAAUUGGCAGCCACCUUUUUUUUUAAUAGAAUCCCCCUAUCUACUUUGACCUUAAAAGAUGCCUAGAUCAAUGUUCUUCUUGAUGCAGAGUUUUCACACUUAACUGGUUCUCCACUGUAGCUAAAUUGGUUCUACAUUUUUCAUCUAAAAAAACAAAUUUAGCGCAUUCAAUUGUUCACAGAGCCAUUUACUAUUGCCGCUUAUUCAAAGAAAAGAGAAGUCUUAGUGAGGACCAAUAUUUUCAGUAGCUUUUGGUUCAUGAAUCCUAACUUCAUCUAUCUUGUUGCGAAAAUCCCUAGAAAAAUCUUGAUUUCGGGCUUAGAAAACAACCAAACGAAUACCACCCGACCAAGGCUCGACCCAAACCAAACCAAAUGAACACUUUUGUUGCCUCAAAUUUCUAGGCUCACGCAGUUAUCCUCUUCUAACCUACAAAGGAUCACGGUGGCGGUGAUUACAACAUCACAAAGGGAGGAAGAAAUGAAAGGGACCAAUAGUUGGAUAUCACUAAAUCACCUCACCAAGACAUGGCUGCCUCUCUCUUAUUUUCUCUCCUCUGUUGUAACUCUCUCACACACGCACCAAGGAAGAUACGGCUAGGAACAAAACAUAUAUAGCAAGACAUUAGGUCACUCAUAUGGAUUGGGCCACAGUUUUCUCUAUAGAUGGGCUGACACUUAAUUACAAAUAAAUGGACCACACAAUCCAAAAACCAUCUAACCCAAACUUGGGUUAUCUAAAAGUAUAGGUUGUUUUCGAGCCAAGCCAAGCCUAUGGUAUCGAUAAGUUUUCCGUGAACUAUUUUAAAUCAUAGCUUAGAUUUAUUGGGUAUCAAAACCCAAAAAAUCUUUACCUUAAUGCCCAUUAAAUCUAUAAGCAAUGAAAACACAAAGUUUAUACUUGUAUAAUCAAGGUAACCAAUAAAAUUGGUAUCACAGACCUUACCUCGUAUUUCUAACAUGAAAUACAUACCAUAUCUGCUCUAUGUACUCACCAGGGCUUAAGAUCAAGAGUACUCGAGCAGAAGCUGAUAUUCAUAGUAAUCAACCAAGAGCAAAUAAACAUGCGAUAACGAUAUAAUAUAGGAUAACACAGAUCUUUUCAAAAAUACGGUCACAUAGAACAACAUAUUAACACCAAGUUAAUCAAACACACGGUCAAAUACACAUGCAACAAAUCUAAUUCUUGCUGAAUAAAGUUACUUCUUAUGAAAUCCACUAUUAGACUCUGCCAGUUCAUGAAUUGUGAUUUUAUUAAUACACUCUUAAUGUAAUUCUUGGCGAACUAGGUAACUACAAAUGUUACAAAAAGCUAUUUAUCAUUUGAAUUUUAUGUUAUAACGGACUGGAAUAUUUCUAUUUUAAUAAUUGUUCGAUCUCAUUUUGUAGAUUAAUUAAUUUUAUUGUAGUACUUGCUGUUUGAAAUUUGACUUUGUGGGUGGUAAUGACUUAUUUAUUUUUACCACUAGCGUAAAAAUUUAUGUUUUAAAAGUGAUUAGCAGUUCUAUGGCUUUAGAUGUCCAUUGUUAAAUAAUAUGUGCCUCUAAAUGUACAUUGUUCAAUGUUAUUACAUCGAGGUUUAAAAAAAUUGACCGAAGGCUUAACUGCGUGGCUCUAUACUACUACAAGUAAGAAAUAAGGUUGAAGUACUAUGGAUAUUAGAGCUAUCUGUUUAAAUGACUCAAAUUAGUGAACUGUGCUUAUCUAUGCUAGCAGGUUAGGUUCAUCAGACUAGGUAGCUUAAGAGCGUGGAAUUGGACCGCCCUCAAUAGAUGAAUAUGGUAUAUAAUGGAAUUGACCCAAAAAUUUCUCUAUUUACAUUUUGCCAGUCUUUGGUAACAGCGUAAAAUCAGAUAGAGUAUGUCCAGCUGUAAUCCUCAACCGAUCUUACCUGAUCUAAUUGUAUUACUGACUAUAAUUGAUUUCUUGUGUGUAAUAGUAUUCUAUAUGGCCUCACUGGUAAGUGGUUACCUAUACCCUGCUUCCAUUCCUCCUUUUUAUAAGAAAGCCAAAUGUUAGAAGAACUCGGUCAUUCUAGCAGCGACAAGAAGACUAUAAAAAUGACCAAGAUCAAGAUACUAUGGUCCAGUCUUCGUCACAUGCUGUCGUUUCUAGGACCGACUGACGCCUCACCUGCAUUGGUACCUAGUGUAGUGGUUGCACAUUCAACGUAGUGUUUGGACUCACGUGCCUUCUAGGACCGAGAUCUCUGAGUGUGCUGCAUAUGAUUUGCCAGCUUUGUGGCAACAAAAAGAUUAGAUGUCCCCCCAUGCUAUGACCAUUUGUAAUUUCAUCUCUUUCACCCCAUGUCCUAUGUCCCACCAUAGUAUAUCUCUACACCUUGACACCUUUUACCAAUUAGAUUCCUUACACGUGUAGACUUUAAUCAUCAUGAAAAUUCAGCGUGGCCAUUGUUUCAUUUAUUUAGGUUGAGGAUGCAUUUUACUGUUUCUCUGUUGCUAUAGAGCUUUUCAUUGGAGAAAGGGACUGGAAAGAAGUGCUUUAUGCUGGCUUCAAGGAACCUCAUUAUAUGGGAUUGUCCACCCCGUUGGCAAUGUAUCUCUUUUCCCAACUCCAGGUUCUAUAUUUAUCCUUCAUAAGAAUAACAAGUAUCUCUUUUUUUCCCUAUUAAUUAUCUCGCUUGAUAUUUUGUUGAGUGUCUGAUUCAGAUUUCCAGAGGUCGCAGUGCGUCUUGUUGGGUACUUGUUUACAAUUUGUGGCAAGAUAAAUACCUCCAUGCUUUCUUCAGGAACUAAAUAUGCAGCUUACCUCGUGUUCACUUUGAGAUAAGGAAUUAAUGGAUAUGGGCACCAGCUUGUUCAGGCUUUGAUAGAAAUUAGUGGACAAAACGCUGAUGAACAAACUAACUAUUUACAAAUUGGACAAGAAGCUGAUGGUACAACUGUCUAUUGUCCAGAUGAAGAACAGAGGCAAAGGUGCCAGACUGUUCCUAGACCCAAAACUUUCUUGCAUUUAAUCUCUCAUGUAUUUUGACGGCUAGACAUCAUAGAGCCCUCAGAGUUGCACAGAUAUCCUAAGUUCAGGGAUGAUGGAUGGAUGGAAGUUGAGAUGGGAGAGUUCUUCGUCGAGGGGAAACAAGAUCAGGAUGUGAAAAUUAUAUCUGUGCCAUGGAAUCCAGGACUGUGGUGUAAUUGUUGGCAUGGUGGUCAUCUUAUUAUUCAAGGUAUUGAUAUCAGACCAAGAGCUUGGUGAAUAUUUGAUUUACUAUUUUCAUC
This 75693-nucleotide long non-coding RNA is filed under the name Olea europaea (common olive). Its description in RNAcentral is "long non-coding RNA (OEUR_LNC005814)". Lineage: Eukaryota; Viridiplantae; Streptophyta; Magnoliopsida; Lamiales; Oleaceae. The record is from RNAcentral.